CCUGCAACAAAAUAUUACUUCAAUCGUUUAUUACGGAUUCAAGAUUCUCUCAAGAAUGUUUGAAUGACAGACAGCGUAAGCAGUUUUUAUAUUCGUAAAUGUCCAAACUAGGUUACGCUCACUUCGACUAAUCUCAAGGGGCAACCUACGUAAUCCUAUGAGUGUCGAGUAAAGAUGACCACUAUAAAUUGAAUCCAUGAUGUUGAACUCAUACCCUUUUAUCAAAGUUAUGUUUGAGCAUCAAUUUUUUUUUUUUUUUUUUUUUGUUUGUUAGAAACAACUUUCUUUGGGGAAAAGAUAAAAGGAAACAAGGUCAUGAAAAACAAAAAACAAACUCACAGAAACUCACUAAAGAAAGGGGGUUCCGACAUGGUAAAUUGAUAUGCUAAUAGAAAAAUUAGAAAAUGUCUUCGUGAUCGGUGUCGAAAGAAAAACAUGAAAACUCAAAAAGAAGCCAAACAUCCAUCUUACCUGAUUGGAGAUCUAACAUUUGCACCAACAUAAACGAAAUGUUAAUACCAGCAACAGCAAACGGAUAUUCCCACUCAGCUCUCUUACCAUCCUUCUUAUACAACAAUCUGCGGAAUGACUCCUGUAAAGGAAUCCAACCAACUAUUUACAUUGAAUAAUCACCGACGAUAUAUUAUCAAUGUAGCCAAAAAGGAAAGAGAUAAUAUCACUUGGAGAUCUAAUUAGAACUAUUCGCAAAGCUGGACCGACUUGCAUGCUCACAUCCAAAACAAGACAAAAUUAGUGCAUCUAGCAGUACACAUUCAGCAAGUCCUGAAUAAUUUAAGCCAAGUAAAAGUAGCAGCAAUCACAAUAGGAGGGACGAUAAAUAGCAUACUUUUCACUACUUUUAACUACUUUUUAACCCCAAAGCUUCAUAAAUCCUCACUGAAAUGACUUAAGAAAACAUAAUGCUUCUCAAUAUCGCGCUUUUAACCACUAGUGAAGUAAUUCAAUUCCGUGGUUUUCAAUCUGAAUCUUAUACGGCAUUUGUGUUUCCAUACAAACAAAGAUAAUUACAUUUAUUACUAUAUGUCAGAUCAAAGAAUCAGGUAUAGAACAUAAGAGAAAAGAUAGAGCACCAAGCAAAAGAAGAGAAAAUAUUAAAACAUAGGAAAAGGAAACAAACCGGAUAUGUCUGGGCAAAGAAGAUAAGAUUUUCCAGUGAAACAAAUCCACCACCUCUACAAAAAAGUAUAGAAGACUACUAAAUAUUAACAGAAGGGGAUGAAACAAACGAAGCAUCAUUUCAAAAGAUCAAAGAUUGUACUCACCUAAAAUCUGUUGAAGGAUCAGUACCUUGCCAACCCAUGUCCUUCCAGAGCUCAGAUUUAGGAGGUGGAAGCUCUCUGUCUGGAUAUGCCAACCUCCAUAACCUUUUCAGAGCAUCCUACAACGCAUGGAUUCAUUUAUUUUUCCAUCCCAGAAAUGGAGUGAAUAGCCAAAUUCCUGUUACACAUUCUUCAUUGUAUUUUUAAUAUUUUUUAUAUUCAAAGUGUCCAGACCACCUUACACGCACCUCAAUUAAUGUCACCGACUAAUCUCACGGGAUAACCAAUUAUAUUAGUCGAGGUUUCUAAUCAUCCAUUUGAUCGUAUAGAACACUGAAGGUACAGGGGGGUGUUAUACAAAUCAAGGAGAUGUCUACACAAGUCACUAGGUCUAACAUCCAGAAAGAAGGAAGAGUAUGUUCUGAAGUACCUUUACGUCUUCAACAACUAGAAACACAAUCCCUAUUCCGAAUCCUUAUGUUUGCCUACAAUUUUGAAGCAAAUUUCGAUAGAUUUUUUCUUUAAAAAAAAACAAACUGUUAGGUGCUAUAUCAAAACUUUUGAUAUAAACACUUCACCCUUAAUCUCUUGUAGAAAAAUAGAUUACAUCACUAAAUACUCUCUAUUACCUUCAAUUCACACAAAUUCUCUUCUUAAGCUUCCAUCACAUAAAUCCUCCCUCCAAUUAUUCUCUACACUUUCUCGUUAGCUUCUUGUUAAAUUACAAUCAACCCAAAAGUUAAAGUUCAUAGGUUACGAUAAAUUUAAUUAAAUACACACUUCCACAUUCCCCUCACUUGUGGGCUUGCAAAUUAUAGGAAGCUCAAACAAGCAGACAAACUAAUUGGAAAGAAAAUGAUAAUGACAUUAUAGGAAUUUGAACAAAGAACCCUUCCGCCCUCAUGAUAUCUAAAAUAUCAAGAGAAUACUAAUUUAAUUUCUUGUUCACAAGGAUGGACGAGUUUCUUAAGGAGAAGAAAAUCCACAGAAUUACAGAUACGGAAACUCUGACAAAUAAAUACAAAUUACUGCUAUAAUAUAGUAAAUAUAAAAGAUUUUGCCAACAUGAACAUUAGCUUAACUUGCACAAAAUAGGCAUCUUCGUCAAUGAGGUUAGAUGUUUGAAUCACCCACCUUACAUAUUAUGUUAAACUCAACAAUAUAUAUGCAUGCAUACAUACAUAGAAAAUACAUACAAUUGUUAAUUAACUCAACAUUUUAUGUUUUUCUAGUGUGCGUUUAGUAUUUUAUGUUAAACUUAUAUGUCCUAAAAUAAUGACAGAAAACAUUGUAUUUGUAAGGUGUCCAUGUCCUAGUUUUCUAUUGUUUAUUUAUCUAUUAUUUUUUUAAAAAAAAUUGGUGUAUUGCCGUUUUGUAUCAUAUCCGUGUCCAUGUCCCAGGUCUAUGAUCGCCGUCUUAGAGGAAAAAUAUAUUGACACACACAAAAAAAGCACCCAAACGGCACUGGAGGAUAAACCUUUGGAGCUGUUUGUUGAGAGAAUUUGGAGUCUAUGGAUUUGGAAUAGAGAUGGCCUAGCUCAACUAGAAGAGGUACUUUCUCAUUCUCCAUUCACGGGUUACAGUUUUGUGGUAGAAUAACUUCUUAUGCAAUUUUGUGGGGCAUUUGGCUUGAGAAUUUAAGAUGGAUAAUAUAAUUUUAAAAGGGGUGGGGAGAUCGGGCGAGGAAGUUAGGGAGGUGGUGGGUUUAACGCCUCUUGUGCGUAUGGUCAAUGGGCCUUUUUGUAAUUAUGAUUACAUUUGAUCAUAUUCUUUUGGAUUGGAGUCUUUUUCUGUAGUUAGGGUCAGGCUCCCUUUUUUGGUUGGAGCUUCAUUUUUUCUUUUGUGCAACCCUGGUAUAUUCUUUUAUUUUUCUCCAAUAAAGCACUGUGGAUUCUUACCAAAAACAAAAAGGGAAAAAAACCACAACAAAAGUGCCCAAGCUACCAAGUUCAAUAGAAUCUUAACUUCUUCCUCAAAGAUAAACCAUUUAGUACCUCAAGAAGUUCCUCUCCAACCAUAAUUCAAUAAAAUUUUCAUAGAAUUUCAUUUUUUUUUUCAUCUUAAUUUUUUUUCGGUAUUGGAAAUAUGUAAAAAUUGAUCCUUCAAAAAUAAAUUCUAACUCGAUAAAACACUUCUAAAUUAUUGGAACCAAGCAACAAAAUGUUUCAAUAGCAAUCAUCUUUUAUUGAAUUGAUACAAAGUGCUUAUACAAGUGAGAAGUUAGAACUCAAUUACAACAUUAAUCUGUAUACGCUCAUGUGAUAAGUGGUCUGGGUCAAGAGAGAAUAGAGCAAGGGAGUAUACUUUUUUCUCUUGUAUUUGCUUUGAGUGACGUAGAACGGGAGAAACAUUGGCCUUAUUGAAUUAUUUGGCUUUCUAAAAUUAUUUUCAAUUGUUAUAGAAGCAAAACCCAUCAAACUUGAAGUAAACAUAGCCCUAGUUCUCCUACCCUUACCAGUAUAUCCCCAUUCUUUUCCUUAAAAUGAACGUAAUAUGCGGUUUAUUCUAAAAUAUAGCAAAAAUAAACUAAAAUAUUUAAAAAUAUAGCAAAAUGUCACUGUCUGUCAGUGAUAGACACUGAUAGAUGAUGAUGUCUAUCAGGUGUCAGUCUGUAACAUAGAUAGCCAUUAAAGUUUUAUUAUAUUUGUAAAUAAUUCAGUAGUUUUUCCAUUUAAAACAAUUACCUAGUAAUAUCAUGAAAUUCCAUCUAACAUUAGAACCUUAUAACUACUACGGAUCCAUGAUCAAAUAUAUCUGAUAUCGGUACACAUGGAAUAGGUGAUGUAGAACAUCUCCCUUCUUUAUGUAGAACAUCUCCCUUCUUGAUGUUUCUUGAAUUUUAUCCUAGAAGAGGGGUUUGAAUUACCAUUUUUAUAGUUUUGGAUUAAUUACCAAUUUUGUAUCUUGAGUUAGUUAUAACUAACUCAACUCCAAGUUAAACUAACUCAACCCCAAGUUAGUUUAACAACUCUUGUAAUCUCCAGCCUAUAAAAAGGCUUCUCAUUUUCAUUAAUAAGACAUAAAAAAAAGAGGCAUUAUACAUACAGAAUUCUAACUUUGCAGUCACUGCAUCAAUAGGCUUGCUAAGAAUAACAUACAUUUACUGAAGACCCUUGUUCCCCACCUCUCCCAAACUCCAAGUCUAAUUCUCCUCGAGACCAUUUUUCCUUCUUGCAUUACCUAAAGUGAACCAGUUGUUUGUCGGUCCAAUGACCAACAGAAGUUAUGUAUGAUACUGGAAUGUACUUCUUUUAGGACCAGUGCAUAACUUCAAGUCGGCAAGUAAGACUAACUUAGAUAUUGCUGGACAGCAAAUUUUGGUAGGUAACUAGGAACAAACAUACAAGCACAAACAUCUUUCAAUAAACAUACAAGCACAAACAUCUUUCAAUAAACAUACAAGCACAGACAUAAAAUAUUGAUAUGAACAGAACAUAAUAAAGAUGAACAGACAUGUUUUCAUGAGAAUCAUAGCUAAGUAAACUUGCACAAGAAGUGGGAAUGUCCCAACUGGUUCAUUCAAUUAUCAGCAAAAGAAUUCCCUUUGUUAUGAAAUUUGAGAAGAAUUCCAUAAGUAUAGCUUGCAGGAAAUACUUACAUUUUAAGACAUCGAAAGAGAACGAGAGUAGUAACACAUAUAUAACAAAAUCCAUAGAAUUUGAGAUCCCAUAUAAAAAUGUUGAAGGACUCACUUGGUGCUCAAUGCGAGAUCCAUCAAAGGGAACUUCCAGCCUUUGCUUUAAACUCCUGAGUCUUUCUUCCUAGGAAACAGAGGGGAGAUUUUUACAUUUGAUAACAGAUACUCUACCUUAAAAAUUUUGCAAUAUAAAAAAUGAGUGUAAAUCCAAACCAAUAAACACAACAAACUGACACAGCCAAUGUUUGUGAGUUGAUUCAAUGGAAAUUCCAUAAGACUUUUGCAAUAUUAAAAAGGUUCUCUUUUUAAGCUUUCCAAUUCCCAGAUGUGAGCACAAUCAAAACUUUAUAUAGAAAUGGAUUUAUAAGACUUAUUUGUAGAGGGGACCUAUUGCAUGGUUAAAUUGAAAAUUUAGUCCCAUGGUUUAUAUCUGGAAUCUAGUUCCUAUGCUUUAAUAAAAGACCUUCAUAAAUUGAUGAGGAUUUUAUCAAACCAUAGAGACUGCUUAUGAAAUUUUAUCAAAUCGUAAGGACUAAAUUCUAACUUAAAAAAUUACAGAAACUAAACUCUAAUUUUCUCUGAAUCACAGGGACCAAAUUUAUAAUAUAUCCUUUUAUUGAUCUUGAUUAACAGAACAAACUGAAUUUGAACAAGAAACAUGAUUCAAAUUAAUAACAGGACAUCAUAGAAAACAAAUAUAACCAUUUUAGUAAAUCAUACUCAGACCUCAGGCUAGUAAACUUCUAAACAAAUAAUUACUCUGAUUUAAUUACAAUGACAAUUCAGGAGAAUAAGGCAUCAAAUCUUCAUUUACCUGUAGAAUACUAAGAGGUGGAGCCACCCUAUGGUUUUGUCCAUUGUGCAUGGUCAAAGAAAAUGGCAAAAGUCGACCAAAGAGUGCUCCAGAACCGAAGACAAUGUUUGCUACAAAAGUUAAGAUAGCGUUAGCAAACAGUUGUCAACAUGCCUACCAUGUACCGGACUUCAUUUCUCUGAGCUCACUACAUCGAUUCACAUUCAUUUCUAUCUAUUAAACCUCCUAGUUGGGACAGACAACUUCCUCGGCAGAGACAGUACUUUACAACCACAUUAAAGACAUUCCUUUGAGCUCCUUUUCCUCCCUUGCUUCCAAUCACACCUCUACCCACUUUUUAAGAUCAAUUAUGUCAUCCUUAAUGUAGGAAAUUAUUUAUGAACUUCUCUUUUAGCUAUCUCAUGGAGCAAGUUGUCUUCCCCUUUUCGUCAUUAUAGCUUAAACACUCUUACUAAUCAAUUAAGGUGUUUUUUGUAAUUAUCUCAUGGUAGGAUCAUUUUUGUACCCCACUUCAUCAUACCAAUGAAUCAUCACUCGUUACUUUUUCCUGUUUAAAAAAAUAGUAGGUAUCAUCUCAUUGCAUCAUUACUGAAAGAAAUACCAUGGACUAAAACCAACUAAUAUAGGAACUCAAUGGAAAGCCGAACACUAGCAGAAAUAUUUUCCAAAAUUUUUAAGCUUCCUACUCUACUUCACAAUCAAGCAUUUCCCAGAACUAAGAGAGAACUAUUUUCAAUGCUUCUUAUCCCUAACUAAAAAGGACAAUUAGCUCACAACCCACUCAAAACAGUUGUGCAACAUAAAAUUAUCUGCGGAAGGAAGAAAGAUCAAGCCAAGACAUAGAGCCUUAUUCUAGUAGUUGCUUGAACUAAAAGUGCCUAAUAACAAAGAACAAGCUGUUGUAGUGUUGGCCCUCAUAGACUUAAAGUAGUACAUGAGCAACCACUAUAACUUCGAAUCUAAAAUAUCUAAAAACAUAAAUUUUACUUGAUCUAGAAGAUGAUGUAUCCAUAUCCUAUUGUCUAACCAUAUAAAUAAUAAUAUAUAGCUAUAUCUGGUGUUCUUUAAGAAGCAAGCAUCAUGAAUAAUGAGAUAAUGAAGAACUAUAAAAAUAAGAGCAUUCGUAAGAGAUUGUUUGAACAUAAAGACCUCCUAUUUAAUAAAAAUAAUUGAAAGUAAAAAAAAUACCUUAAAGUUCAUUACAAAGCUUUCAGCCAAACUAUUAGAUUCCAUGAGAAACUACAAAUUAGUUCUACUAAUCUGAAUGCUCUAUCUUGUAUUAACAGAAUCCAUUCAAAGAAAAUAACUGUACCUAUCCACUGAGCCCAUUGUGCAAUCAACUGAGAAAACAGAAGUGUCCAGUGUAGCUGUUGCUUCUUCCGCUCAUCGUCCCAAAUCUCUUCAAGCGUGCGCACCUUUUAUAAGAAAAACAACCAAGAAAUCAACUGCCGAAGACUACUAAAGGAAAAAAAAAUAUACAGAACACAAAAACAAAAGCACCCAGGAUACUUUAUAAAGAACAGGAUAAGAAUAAUUCGAAAGGGGGGAAAAAGUAAAAAGGCUAUAAAUUUAAAGGAAUUAAGCUCUAACCUCCGAGCUCCUAUCACUAUACUCAUGGCUGCCAAGCAGAGGCUCACUCAAACCUUCAAAGCCAGAAGUAUCAUAUUUUUCGUUCCUUUUCCCAUCAACAUCACCAUGGUGGAGCCUCCUCCUCAAAGUUUUUGAAGUCAUUAAAUAACUUCUUAUAAGAACCCUGCUACCUAUAAAUCCAAAACACCUUCAAUACCUCAUCAAACAAAGAUAAAAGAAAAAAAAACCCCAAAUACCCAUGAUCAAGCACCAAGGUAGCAUUCAAAGUCUAGUACAGAAAGAAGGAAACGAAUUUCAUGACUAGAACAUACAAUUGAAACAGAACAAAAAGGGGAGAACGUAGAGGUAAAGUUGAUACAAAAAUCAAGAAGUUAGAAAUCAGGGAAAGAAAGAAAGUAAUAUUGCCUGAAAAGUCGGGAUAGAAGGAGAAAAGGAACGAAUCAAUCAAAAAAUGGGAAGAGAAACAUAAAGCGGAGAAUGUUGGAUAGAAAGAAAUCCUCCGAAACUGCCAAAUUUAUACCAAAUUGCGUUGCUUAACAUGGGAGUGUAAGACAAUUGAAUUCGAAAUAAAUAAAGAAAUGGAGAUAAUUGCAUCGGACUCGCGCCCCAACUUGUCCUCGAAGGAAACUGCUCUUCCUUUUGCUUCCAACUUUAUUUAUUUGUUUAUUGUCAUUACUAUUAUUAUUUAUUUUUGUUUUUUUUUACAGAAAUUAUUAACUUAUUAUUAUUAUUAUUGAUUAUUAGUUACAUUUGUUUUCUUGUUUUCUUGUUUCUUAUUUUUUAAUCAUUAGUUAAAUUUGUUUUUCCAAUAGCUAAUAGGCGGAUUCUUUUUACUUUAUUUAUUUUUUCCUACAGAGGUUUUAAUUGCAGCUUAGCUUGUCUUACGAUCCAUUUGAUAUUCAUACUAAAGCUUAAUUCAACUCUUUUUUUUUUUUUUUAAUGUCAAAUGGGCUCAAUCUCAUUAGUUUUUAAUUAUAUAGAUGGUGAAGAGAGAAGGGAAGUUUUCUAAUUAUGAAUGUUCAAAUUGUUUGAAUUAUUUGACUUUUUAUCAUUGGAUGACGAAUUUAGGUUUGAUUGAAGUUUCCCAAAACUUUUGAGUUUAGACUUCAUUUAUUUUUCUUUAGAGAUUGUUACUUCCUUUAUUUAAUAACGACAAAAAUAGGGUAUAAAGGAAAUAUUGACAAUUUUUGAUAUCUGAAAUAAUCAAAUUAAAAUAGAAAAAGUGAAUUUAAUAAGAAAAAGUGAAAAUUAGGAUAUUUAAUAUAUAUAUGUAUGUAUGUAUGUAUAAAGGAAAAAGAAUAAAAAAUUGUUAAUAAGAAACAAUCAAAUUAAAAUUGGAAAAAUGAUGUUAAUUUAAUAAGGAAAGAUACUUUUACGAUUGAAAUUUGGUGGUUGGAAUAUUUUAUAUAUAUAUAUAUAUAUAUAUAUAUAUAGAAAAACAAAAAAAUAUGAGUGAGAAUUAACUACUCUAUUUUUGUCGAUUUUUUUAAUAUUAUUUUUUAAAAUAACAUUAUUAAAAAAAAUUCCAUAAAUUUAGUAGAUGUCUAAGUUUUAAAUUUAUUUCAUUAAGGACUUAAUUGUAGUCAUCAUAAUCGAAAUAACUAGUUUUUUACCGUCAACAAUGUUCUUAAAAGUAACUAUUUCAUGGUUUCGAUCAUAUGUAAACUCUUUAACAUAGGAUGUCUCCACUUCCAUGUCUUUACAUGAACAUUCAGGAUCACAUCCUUUGUAUUAACUAUAAAACAGACCACAUUUAUAGUGUUUCUCAGAAUAAAGCAUCCAACCUUAUUCAUACUCUAUAGACCGUUUGGGCUAUAUACUCGAACUUGAUCCACGCUUAUGUCUCUACAUAAAUUUUAAGUCUACACUAGAUGGCCUUCAGACCUUAGUUUAUUGGAUUCAAGAUUAUAACAUUUAAUUUUCACUAAUAAGUUCUCAAUAAUCACUUUAUUGAAUUGAAUAUAAUUUAAACUAUAAACUACGAGUUUCAAGACAUAAACUCCAACACGUUUAAGUUCUAUAAUUUUUCUUUGCCCCAUAAUGAUAACUUCAAUGAUAUAAAUAAUUAUGCAAGGUUAAGCUUUAUUUGUUACUUAGGCGUCCAACUUGUUACAGAAACCUACUUAGGAAAUAUUUCUUAAAAAAAUUAUUUCAAUAGGCGAGCAACCUUUAACUCAGACCUCUUUUGUAAGAUUUUUCUAAGUAAAAUCUUAUCAUUCACUUUUAAGCUAUGAGGACCUUGUUGCAUUUUAAAUGUGGGGGUGUGUGAGGUCCAAGCUAAAACUUUAAAAAAUUUUGAAAUCCUAUCAAGGCGUUUUAAAUAAGGUGUUUUAACAAAAGUUAAAACGUUGUAAAAAAUAAAGUAAAUUGAAAAAUUCUUUUUAUUCCAAUUCAAUUGAAUAAAACUCCAAUGUUGUUGCCUCUCACCCAAAAAUAAAGAAGCAAAGCUUCAAAAAUCUUAGAGUAAAAGUUAAAAAGUGGCGACAAGAGUUGUAGUUAUGGAGAUGAAUGUAUUCAUAGAAUACCAAUAAUUUUCCACUCAAUGCCCAACUCAAAUUAAUUAAUAGUAAAAUUUUCUUCGUGAAAAGGGAACCAAUUUUUUUAAAAAAUUUCAGCCAUUUCUUAAAAUUGAAAAGAAGAUUUUUUGGAAAUAAUGUACAAGGUUAUUUUGAGAUUUAAGCUUGCAUUGUUCUGAACCUGAAAAUAUUUUUAUAGUGGAGAGUAUGCGAUAAAAGUGGAACCUAGUCGCAAAUGAAACUAAAUCACAUCAUGAGAAGUUUAGUGGAUUCGAGUAGGAAGGUAGGGCUUAGGCAUGGAGCCUUGCUUGAGGACAAAACAUUGUUUUAAAUUUGGGGGUGUGAUAACUUGUAAAAACACAACUUAUUAUGGCCUUUUGCGUAAAAUGGAGUUAAAACAUGAGAUAAAGUGUCCGAAUGCAUAACUUUUAGGGCAAAAUCAUAAUAUCAAAAGAAUGCACCUUACAUAAGUCUUAAUGACAUCUGAUUAACUAUGUUUUUAUGUGUUUUCCACACAGGAUGGCAUAAAGAAGAAAUGAAGUGAGGAUCGCGCACUAACUCAGUGAGAAGAAUACUGGAAAUUUACGAGUCGUUGGGCAAGAUGUCGACACAUCAUUAUGCGAUAUGAUUUGCUAAAAGACAAGAGUGGUAGUGGAGCUGAUGUGACAAGAAAUGAUUACUUUCUGCAUUGACAUUAUUUAUAGACAAGGACAAUUGUGCAAGGUAGGUAAGGACAGACGUACAACAUGAGCAUUUAAUUUCUCACAUAAAGUGAGCCUGUAAAAGAAGUCUAACUCCACUAUGAAGAAUCAUCAUACAAAGGAGGUCAUCCCUACAGGAAGCCGACAAGGACAAGUUUUAGAGUUCUUCACCAUUUAUUGUAGUUUUUCUUCCUUCAUUCUUUCUCUAGUUAGCAUAUGAGUGAGAGCUUAUAGAGAGAAGUUCCCCUACCAUUUUCCCUAACUUGUAAACGAGCCAAGGGAUGCAUGAGAGUUCAUUUUGCGACUCGACUCGUAUCUGUUCUUUCCAUUUUUGUAUUUUAUGGUGUAUUGUAUGAAUGUUCUUCAUUUAUGGUCGAAAGGCCGACAUUUAUAAAUACAAUGUAUUUUUAUCCAUUGUCUCUCUUCCAUUUCUUCUCUAUUAAUCUUGUUGAUGAGUUUUAAGUAGUUUAAGUUUAUGUUUUGUACUUGAUAAGGAUUCUUUUAGUUAUAAGUCUCAUCAUGCCUAGUUGAGCUUAGCUCAAUCGCUUGGCCAACAUUGGUGGCCAACUGCUCGAGAGAGUAAGUAUCAAGGACAUAGCUAAACAUGCACAAAAGGGAGCUUGGAAACAAACUUCAUUUUGGCAUUGUGACUCCAGCCAUUUGUGUCCCAAAAGAAGAACAAGUGUGGUAUUUAGGCGCUGAGAGGCUGCUUGUCUUAAAUAGAGAGUCAAAUGUGAUGCUUCUAAGUGAGGGAGCUUAGAUGUAUAUGCUUGGUUUCUCUUUACCAUUUGUGUCUCGAAAGGAGAACAAGUGUAGUGUUUAGGCGUCAAAAAGUGGCUCGCCUUAAAUAUAAGAUGGUCGAGUGAUCUACAUCGCAUCAAGAACAUGUCGCACAACAUAGAUCGCCUAGAAUACUAAGAUAUUCCUUCAUCCCUCUUAAUGCAGAUUAGUUCGCACAUUUCGUAAUCUUUCCCUUUCAUCCCCUUUACAGAAUCCUCUGUGUAAAUAAAUAAAUUAGUAUAGUUUUAUACUUAUACUACAUAGAAUUUGUAUACCGCUUGGUUAAGAAGUAAGCAUUAUAAUUAAGCUUUGAUAGGAAUUUGUUGUGUUCGACCCUGACUUACCCAAGAAACCUUUCGCUUCAAGCAUGAGAAAAACUUGUAUUAAACGUUAAUCAUGCAUGAAGCAACACAUAGGUAGGAGAUGCACCUUUUAUCUCAUAAUCGUAGCCUAGACGCUUAUAUUAGUCCAUAAGUAGAGCCUUUCAUGAUAAAUAUUUACGAAUUAAUAACGAACAAGCAAGGAGAUGUUCUGAAGAAGCGAUGAAUGAAGACAAUUUAUAAUAAAGACAAAACUAAAAGCAACCUCACUCUAAAAUUUCUCAGGACAAAAAGCAAAAAGAAGUUAGUGUUAAGACAAUAUUUGAUUUACUUUUUAUAGCUUAGCUCUCCUAUUAUUUCACAACUUAUUCAUUAAAAUUAUCAUUUUAUAAGAGAUAAUGAUCUAGAAAUUUCAACGACUCUAACGCAAUGAAAAUCGCUUAAUUUGGCGCUAAAACGAGCGAAAACAGGCUAAAACAUUAUGAAGGACAUUUGUAAUUUUCUAGAAGUUAGGUGCCUCCCCUAGUGGUGCGAUGUCGAAGCACGGGGUCAAAAAGGUAGUAGCUGUCAAUGAAGCAACAUCUUGGCACCCGAAUCAUUUAUGGUCAAGCGUUGUAGCGUUAUGAACUUUGAUGAAAAAAAUAAUGCAUACGCUUUUUGCCUGCCAGCCGACCUAAAUAACUUACUUAAGCCCAUUUUUGCCUUAUAAACUUAGAUUGGCAUUUCAUUUUUUUUUUAAUUUGUACUAAAAUUAGACUAAAAUAUCAUUGUAAAAUUCUCUCCACAAAAUUAUUAAAGUUAUCUCAACUUUCUUCCAAGAAAUAUAAAGCCUUUUUUGUCAAAUUCUUUGCGGCUACUUUGAAGACUAAGGGCAACUAAGGUAACUUUCUUGGGAAUGGAUGUUCUUUGUAAUUUUCCUUGACAAUGCAUCUUUCAUUGCUUUUUAAUUUGAUUUUUGGGUAAAUUUCUUUCUUAAUUUUGAUAAAUAAUUCUUAUUUUGUUGGUUUGGUCAUCCAAGAAUGCAUGAAUUAAAAAUUAAUUACUAGAGACGCUAAGCACACCUUUUGAAGUAUUGUUUGAACAUCGUUGAAUAAAUCUUUAACAUGUCUAUCCUAUUGAUUUCUCUUCAACUUUCAAUGUGAAUUUACCAAAAUAAUGUUUCUUGAGAUAAAGAGAUUCCUUGCUCUUAAGAGUCUCCACAUUGAUGCCUGUGAUCUCUAUGCAAUUUUAAAAGAACUUGUGAAACCGCUAAGAUGAAAACACACUACAAGAAAAAUGGUCUACGACUACAGUUAUUUACUGUCGCGAACAAAAUCCAUGACAAUUAUUUUCAGUCAUAGAAGCGGGAGUCAUGGAAAGUCCUUCUAUGAUAGUUUUCAAAAACUGUCGUAAUAACUUAUUUCAUGACAUAAAAUAAAUGUCGUUAGUUAGCAUUCAACGACAUCAAAUAACUGUCACAUUUUAUUUGAUGACAAUAAACAACAAUCAUCAUUUAUGUAUUAACGACAGUUGAAUAAAUGUCGUGAAUUCGUUUAUUGUGACAUGUUUUAAAUGUCACGAAUAUGUCAAUCGCGAAUGUUUUUUUUAAAUGCCAUUGUUUUGCUAUUGACGACAUUUUUUUUCUGUCAAAGAUAGGGCAAUCGUGACAAUUAAUUUUAUAAGAAAAACUAUCAUUGUUUUCGUAUUCACAACAAUUAAUAACUGUCACAAAUUCAUAUAUUACGACAUGUUUUUCCUGUUGCAAAUUACUCGAUUACUACAGUUUUUUCUUGUUCUCCUUGCCACUUCGCUAUUACACGAACCAUUUGAAUGACAAUAAUGUAGCCGACAAUGACAAUUUUGAAUUUAUAAUAUUGACACCCAUAUAGAAAAAAAUAGCCGACAUUGUAAUAUAUAUAUAUGCUAUAAUACAAUUUAUAAUAUUCGUACAUUUCCAAUCAAGUUCCAACAAUUUACAAGUACGAAAUCCCAGCUCUUAAUCAAAAAAUAUUUUAAAUAGCAUCAGAAUACAUAUAACAAGAUUUUCUGCUAAAACAUAAACGACCAACCGAGAAUGUUCGUUCUGAAAAUGUUCUUUGAAAGUAAACUCAUGAAGUUGUCGACUCCAGUUGAACCUACAAAGACAACAUGAAUAUAAGCAUCCAUCAUAGAACAAGAUAGUACAACUCUUAUAGAAAAUUUCAACAUUGAGCAUUACCUAUCACUACAUACGUCGAUAAGAGAAACAACUACAUAGCAGAGCACACAUGUAGAAUAACAACAUCACCUUAACAUCCACUUGGUCUACAAUAUUGGAACUUUUUACAAAUUACAACUCUUGUAUCAUUACUCUUUAGAAAAUUUAGCUGGAUAUAAAUAAGUAAUCAUAAGUAAUAAUCGAGAUGAAUGAAACGUAAGAAUCCAUUAGUAGUUCACUGUCAAUAAGGUUGGAAGAAACGUUAUCCAACAAGAACCGAAAAGUUUCCAUCUUAAGGAGUCAAACACUUUCAAAUCUACAAAUAUCAGAAAGAAGACAUUUUUCAUGUGCAAUCCACUUCAGUUAACGAAGCCAAGAAAUAUUAAGGUACUAGGAAAAUGAAACUAGAACAACUUGUAUCAUUUAUGGCUUGAUAGAAAUUAAAGAUCUCCUAGUUUCUUAUUAAAAAAAAGCCCUACCAAUGAGUACAAACAUGAAAUCCAUGACAAUUUACACAAGUAGCAAUUUAGCAAUAGCAAUAAGUACAUACAUAACACCCAUGACAAUUUACACAAGUAGCAAUAGUCAACCGGUAUAAGCAUACUAUCCAUGAUAAAAAAAGAUUGUAGCAUCUUGAGUUGCUAGCCUUCAUAAGAUAUAUACCUUUAUUGCCUGGCGUGCUCCAUUUCUAUUGGAUGAUUCUCAAUUCUCUAUGAUCAUACAUCUGAAGGUUGAAUCACAUUUUCAUCAUGUAAUCAAACUUUAGUGAUUGGAUUUGGACGUUUAAGAUCAUGCAAAAUAAUAAGCACAAAUGUAGAUAUGCAACGUAAUAUGUUUACAAUAAGAAAACUAAAACUUCUAAAUGAAUUAUGAAUCUUUAUACACCCCGAGUAUGAUGAUAUGUAGAAAUUCUUCUCCUAGAUUCAAUGUAUAGGGAUGAAUAUUGUUGAUGGAUACCUUACUAUGAUUUACUUACAAUGUACAAUCUACUUGAAGGUAGUCGAGGUUCUAAAGUACCUAAAUACCUCGUUCCUUCAAAUUGGAACCGAUAGCUCUGUGUUUGGCAGCAAUUUCAUCUGCCUCUGCCUUCAACUUUUCUUCUCCAUGCUUUGCUUCAAUAACAAUCUUCUUUUCUUAUGUUGUUUUGUGUAUCAAUGUUAUUUUAUUCUUCAUUUUCUCAAUAUACUCUCCCUUCUUCUUCUCAAAUUUUGCAUGCUCUCGUUACAAAAUCAAUCCAAAUGAAAUCGACAAAAAAAAAAAAAAAAACAUAGUUGUAAAGAGCAGUUCCGUCAAUGAAGAGAAAUAUCGAAUUACAGAUUUUGGAAUUUCCUCUGAGGUUGUGAGUUUAUAUUCAAUGAAUUUUUCUAAAAUCUAGAACUAAAAUCGUAAAUAGCAUCUACAUACUAUACAAAUAAAACUUAAACACAUUACAUAUAUUUUGUUUUUUAAUUACCUCAAUUUGUUUUAGUUCAGCCUCAACAGCUGCUUUCUUGUUGUUCUCCCAUGACCCAAUGCUUUCCAUUCAGAAAAACACAUAUGUAAAGCAAAUAAUAGCAUCAAAGGGGUUGAAUUCCAUUGAGCUCUCUAUUCAACUCUUCAGUCUCAAUCAGAAUUUUAGAAUUAUUAACCUAAGGGCUGAGAAAUAUAAAAUAAAUUUGGAAACAAAAGAAAAUUCGAUUGAGCUCUUUAAGGAGGAAGCAAAAGACUGUAUUAUUUUGAAAUUAACUUUCUCACAAGAAGCAACAAUCUCUUCUCACAAACCAGUAACAUAGAUUCCCCACUGCAAAUAUGGAGAAAAGAACUAACAUCAACAAAGUAGAUAGAAUUUUGGACAGAGAGUAACAUAACAUGAAGUUAGGAACAUGCAAUAAACAAAAUCUCAUGAAGAUUAAGCACAUCAAUACCCACAACUAGAUCCUAAAAAAAAAUAAGAAUUUGCAACUAGAUUCUGAAUAAUAGCAUAGCUUAUAAUUCCAAUGAACACCAAUAAUUAUCCUACUGUGCAAACAUGUUUGUAAUGUAAAUCUACUGUGCAAACAUGGAAAUUACUUACGUAGAUUGGAACCCACAAUUUUCAUUGAAAAUCUACUUCCUUGAACAAAUGAAAUCAAUUAGUUCAAAUGAGUAACAAACUACAAACAAGUUAGCUUUAAUGAACCGUAUCUACAUUAAGAUAAUAUAAAUAAAAGACAAAUUCACUCUCCCGUAUCUACCUAUGUACUUUGAAAUUAGUAUAAAUUUUUAUGUAUUUCUUAGAUUCAUUAUUAUAGGACAAUUGGUUCUUCAACCUUUAGGUUGAUGGUUAAAUUAAUUAGCAAUGCUUCAUUAUUGAGUGAUAGGAAAAUCAGAAGAACAUUCCAUUCCCAUUUUUAUCCUUUGAGAGAAUUAAUUUCUUGUUAUUGCGUUAGUCACAAUUCCAACAAAUCUUCAAAAAUAUUUAAUUUCCUUCUUUAAUUUCUUGUUUGAUUACCAUGAAACCCCUUAGUUACAUGAACUUCUUUCAUUCUCAAAUUCUUCUUUUGUAUCUUGAUUUGUAUAGAACUUUUCACGAAGUCUUCUGGGUUCGACCUCAUUCUUACUCUACAUUACAUUCUUUUUGUUAUAAGAUUGGGUUAUAUUUCUUCGAAGGGUUUAAGGUUGUUGUACUUUUACCACCUAAUUGAUAGCAUAUUAUUGAUUAUUGAUAUUCUUUUUCUUGCUAUUGCACAAUUCUUGCAUCUUUUCUUUUAAUAAACGACCUCUACUUCAAAAAAUCAAUUAGUUAGGCACGAAAGUAGUCCAGAAUGUGGCGAUGUGUAUGUUCUACUCGUCCAUUUUGUUAAUAGGUAUGCAGGUUGUUUGGCUAGUUUGCAAUUUAAACAACAAAUGGAACAAACUUGGUAGUAUUAUUUGAAUUUUUAAGAGAGUCAGUGACUAGAGUAGAGAUAGACAAACACAGCGAAGUGAGCUCAAACAAUCUUCUUGCUUUAUACCAAUCAUUUGCUCCGUCUACGAAUCUUGAACCUAACAAUCAUUAGGUGAAAAAAAAUAGUUAGACAAAUAUCACACGAUAAUCCCACUAACGCAAGAUUAAAGGUCAAGUUUGGAACAUUAUAGGUAUUGGAAAGGCCCAAAGUGGAGUGUCAACUGUGCCAACAUGAGAUAGAGUCAUACACUUACCAUUUGUAGCAUAAAUAGAAGGAAAUGAUUUUGCAAGGGUAGAUGCAAUCAUAAGAGAAAAGUCAAAAGUCAUAUGAUUACAACAUGCAAAAUCAAGAACCCAUCAAUUACCUGAUGAGAUGAGAAUAGUAGAAGAAAUGGACGUAAUUAAUUGAUUUAUAAGCUUUAGAGAUCACUUGUUUGAACCUGAGAAGAGGAGGGGUCAACAGGUGAGGUGACAACAGUAGUAAGGGAACUAGUUUUAGUAAUAUUCUAGGGCUUCGUAAAAUAACUAAGGUUUUGGUGGUCUUGUGGGACAAUUUUUUAGAAUGACCAUGCUUAUGACAAUACCUACACUCAAUUUUAGGACAAUAAAAAAAAAAUUGUGGCCAGAGAGCUUACAAAUUUUACAAAAUGUAGUUUCAUAAUUAUUGUGUGGUUGAAUGCCGGCUAAUGUUAUGUUUGAUUGUCCAGAAGAGAUAAUUGCAUGUUAUGUAAUUACAACAAAAAUUUGUGAAUAUGUUAUGUUAGGCUCUAAGUUUGCGACUAGAGUUGACGCGUAGGUUAGGUUCAUACGAUAAAAGGGACACAAUCCUACAUAAGUGUUGCUAACUUCAUUAAUUCAUCAUUUUGAGAACAAGUUUUCUUCUUUCUUGCCCAAAUGUAAGCAAAGAGGGAGGUUUUCUAGGUAAGUCAGGGUCGAACACAUGAAAUUAGCGAUCCUAUUAGGUUAAUCUUGCGCUCCAAACUCAUGGGGUAUCUAUACAGUAUAAUUUGAUAUGCACAUUAGGAUUUAUCCUAUAUAUUUACACUAAGUGCGAUAGAGUAGCAAGAUGGAAAUGGUGGUGGAAUGAAAUGAAAUAUGUGUUUUGAUUUAUGUUCUAAAACUUGUAGAUUGUAAAUAUAAUUCAUUGGCCGUUUUUAAUUAAAUGUUAAUAAUUAUAUGAUCAGUUUUGUUUUAAUAACCAAAGUCCAAUAAACUAACAUCCUGAGUUGUUUAAUGAGUCUUGAACAGUAUGUAGAGACAUACAAAGAUCAAUAUAAUGUUCGAGAUCAACUUAAAGGGUCUAUAGUAUAGGGAUAAAGUUAGGUACCUUAUCCUGGUAACAGUAUGGAUACAACUCCCUUUGUAUUUGAUACAAACGCAAUGAUCUAACGUGUUUGUGUAUGUGACAUACAAGUGAAGGUAUCCUAUGCAAUUAGUUUGCAUAAGACCGGAUCAUGAAAUAGUAACCACUAGAUGUAACUCUAUUAACUAGUUAGGUUUCUAUUUCAUUAGGAUGAUUUAAGUAACUUAAUCUUAAUCCUGAGUGUAUUAUGAACUCUGGUACGCGAGAGAUUGUCCUUUGAUUUUUGUACGAAUGAGAGUGGCCAGAUUGCUGACUUAAUAUGCUUAUCAUUUUGGGGACAAGAUCGAGUCGGGGGCUAGAAACAUAAUCACACAAGAUGGAAUUCACUCAUUCCCGACUUUGUGGUAGUAGAUGAUAUACAUACACCCUAAACAUAUAUACACAUACGCAUACGAAUACAUAUACAUACAUUUUACACAUAAAUUCAAAAAAAAAAAAAAAAAAAAAACCUGAAGUCGACGGUGGUGGGCGGUAACGGCGGCAACAACGACAACGACAAGGGUAGUGGAAUCUUCUUCUCUCUCUCUCCCUCUCGAUUUUUCUUUUUCUUUCGUGGGUUUACAAUUGUGAAUAGGUUCUGUGCAAAAAUAGGCUACACUUUCCCCGACGUAUUCAAAACCAUCGGAGAAAGGGACUUUUCGCGACGUCAACAACAGGCGCGUCGCGAAAAGUUAAAAUAUUGAUUUAUUAUUGUCACUUUUUGUGACGUCAUUCCCCAUCACGUUGCAGAUUAUCUUCACUUUUCGCGACGUCAACUACCCAACGUUGCGAAAAGUGGAACAUUGAAUUUAUUAUUUCAACUUUCUGUGAUGUGUGUCAAAUAAACGUCAUGGAAGGUUUAACGUGUCGUUUCAAAUUCAACUUUCUGCGAUGUUUAUCUAACACACGUCGCAAAAAGUUGAAACGUGUCAUUUCAAAUUCAACAUUCCAGAGUGUCUAUCUGACACAUGUCGCAAAAAGUUGAAAUGUGUCGUUUAAUAUUCAACUUUUUGUGACGUCUCUCUGACAUACAUCGCGAAAAUUUGAAAUGUGUCAUUUCGUAAUUGACUUUCCAUGACGUAUUGCAGAUGGCCAUCAUGGAAAGUUUGAAAAUAAAUCAAAGUUAUUACUUUCCGCGACGUCGUCCUGCCACACAUCACAAAAAGUUUACUUAUUAAACUUAAUUUUACACUUUUCGCGACGUGUCGUUGUGCACGUCGGCAAAAAGUGAUCAACUCCAACGCACCUUUCGUCGACGUCGUUUUUGGCGUCGCGAUUGGUCUGAUUUCUUGUAGUGUGUUUACCGAUCCAAGUGAGAUUUGGGCGAUUCUUAAUGUCCCAAUUUUUUAAUUGUUCACCGAACUUAUUAUCAUUCUCGGUGUACAAUUGAUUGUAUUAGUAAUAUCAUUAGUAACAAUGCGCCAUAAUCUGCACCAAUUAAAAAACUCUUCAUUUAAUGGGCCCACGUAAGAUGAAGGUCCCGUCAAGAAUAAUAUUAAUAGGAUGAAACAUGUGUUCUUUUUUUCAUCAAAUAGAAGAUAUUUAAACGCUGCACUUGAAGCGUAUGCACACUGCAUUAUGAACAGAUUUGGUUUGAACACAUGGUUUGAACACAACGAAACUGUAUGAGAGACAAUUUUGGCAUGAUGGACAAAAUAGGGUCUCAGCAAGCAAAACAUAUUUGUGACAUUAUAUCCCCAAUUGAGUUGAACAUAUCUGUGACGAUAGAUCUUCUUUGCAACACUGACAAACGCAAAACGACGAUCUGGGCCACAACGUGUAGAACAGAUUUGUGCGAAGGAGGUAGCAACAAAUCUUCCUUGAAGCUAGGCAAAACAACUAGUCUAUGAUACAUAUUUGUGGGUUAUGAAUCUGUGGUACUAGUUGAACAUGGAACGACUAAUCAGAGCUAAGCAAAACGUGGAUCUAGGCAAAGCUAGAAACGAAAAAUCUACAUGACUUUUGACUAAGCUAGGCACUUGCACAGAGCUCAGUGGCUUCAAUUUGGUGUCUUCUAACGGGUCAAAGCUUUGACAAUUGGUCAAAGUUCGAGUCGAAGCUUUGACAAUUGGUUAAAGUCGAAGGCAAUGACUAGGUCGAAAUAUUUGAUCUAAUACCAUGUGAAUGCUUGAAUAUUUUAUUAAUAUUGAUAUGUAUUUGCGUAGGAGAAUGAUGCAAGAAUAAAUACAAAAGAUAUGUAGUCACAUAAGUAAAGACUAAAAAAUAGGAUCUAGAUUUGCCUAAACUACACCAUUUAUUUUAACAUAUAAUAACAUUACAAGAAACUGUACUUUGUAUACAUCAUCUAAACUCUAAACCACAUAUGCACAAGUUAUUUUCAAGACCAAGUAAUUAAGAUUUUGUAUAAAGCCAAGGUGCUUGACAUCUCCAGCCUACAGCAACCAUUUCGUCGGGAUUUACAGUCAUAUUUGGAUCUUUCCCUGUAAUUUUCUUGAUGGGGCUCCUAAAUUGCUGCAAUACGAGUUGAGCCACCAACAAGAAUGACUUCAUUUAUAUCUUUGAACAACAACUGUGCAUCCUUUAAAGCCGCUUCCACCAGUGAUCACAACCUUAAAAGAUAAUAUCGAGAGUCAAAAAUGAAUUUAAACUCAUGCAUGUAGGAGCAAAAGCACAAAAUUAACAAAUGGGAACACAACCGACCUAUCUAGCAAGUCUGAACACAAUUAUUCAAACUUAACCCUAGUAAGUGUCGUAUCAAUAUGUUUAGGGCCAUCGCUGGUCACAGUGAUAAAUGGUAAACUGAAACAAAAGGUAUAAUCAGAAACAAUAAAUAAAUUGGUCAAUCAAUCAAAAGGUGAAGGAAAAGAUGUUGUCAUACCUAAUAUUGGUUUGUGUUAGAGAUGAUAGCUCAAUCUUUGCCUUCUCAGCAGUUUAGGUUAGACGUUGCAGCGCCUGUUUGUCUUUCAAAAGGUUUACUCCUUCAUCCCUCUUAAAGCUCUCAGCAAGCCAACCGACAAUUCUCUGAAAGUAAUAAAGCAGAAAUGUCAUUUUCUGCAAAUAAAGAAACACAUGGAAGUUAUAGGAAAAAUGAGUGACUCAACCUUGUCAAAAUCAUUGCCACCCAAAUGUGUAUCGCCUGAAGUAGAAAGAACCUCAAAUACACCAUCUCCAACCUCAAGGACUAACGAGGGAAAAAUUAGUCAUUAAGAACAAUCAAAGCAAAUGCAAAAGAUACAAGAGAUGUAGGGCACAUUGUUUUCUGCAUACCUGAGACAUCGAACAUUCCACCGCCAAGAUCGAAAAUGAGAAUGGUCUAGUUGGUUUUCUUGUCAGCCAUAAGCAAGGGAAGCAGCAGUUGGUUCAUUGAUGAUGCGAAGAAUUUCAAGACAGCAAUCCGACCAGUAUCUUUCGUCGCCGUCCUUUGAGAGAUUGAAAUAUGCUGGUACUGUUACAACAGAUUUUCCUACUCGAUCAUUCAAGAACUUUUGCUCUGACAUGCACAGAAGUGAGCUCAUUAAUGAUUGACAUGAAUUACCUGGCUGAUGAUCAGUGUUUUGAUUUCUUCUUAGAUUUCAAGGAUGUCCUGCCGUAUGCCAGAUUCCUAAAGUGAGAUAAUUUAAGCUCAGCUUGACGUUGUUUUCUCCUGGCUUUCCGAGAUAUAUUGCCCUUGUCAGCAUUAUUUACUUUGUCAUUCUCAUUGUCAUCCAAAAUGUGCACGUUGGAGCAAUUUUUCGCCCUUCUCUUCCCAAUAUCUUUCUGUUCACUAGAUUGUUUGCCUCUAAGGAGCUCCCUAGACCUCAUUUUCAGGCGCUGUCUAGUACUAUUUGGCAUCUUCCAUUCUUCUUUAUAAGGAGCCAACUUUUUCAUAGAAACGAACUGAUUCAACUCCUUGUCAUCCAUUGCCAGGAUUUCAUCAGUACUCAAUCCAUAACGAUUAGGUUGUAUUUUGGCGUACUUAAACCUCGUCUUCAAGUCUCCGACUGUAUCCUCGUAAUCUAAUUUAUAAUACUCCUCCAUCAUGGCUUCCUUGGCUUUUUGGUACAGAGAUAAUUUACGCUUCCUCUUUCUUGAGCCCUUUUCAUCCUCAUUGCCUUUUUCUUCAUCUUCUUCAUUAUCUUCAUUGCUCAUAUCAUUAUCAAUUUUAUGGCUUAAACUCCUUUGCCUAGCUGCAAAGAAGCCAUCACCUGACUCAGAGGAGGUCCACCCUUUUGGCAAUCCAAGCAACUCAUCCUCUUUGUCGAAAUCAGGUUUCUCAUGCUCACCAUUGCCUUCAUCAUCCAUAUCACUUCCAAACCCAGCAUCAAUGUCUUCUUUCUCAUAAUAUUCUUCACUAAAAGCCACUUUCAUCAUCCUGUCAUACUCUUCAGGAUCAAAAUCUUCAUCUAAAUCUUUAAUAUCCAAUAAGCAAUUCUCGUCCUCCCCAAGUCCUGCUGUUUCUCUAAUCUUCCUAAGCUUCUGCUUUACCUCCUCCUUCUUCAAAUUUUUUAAAUGCUUCAACUCCUCCUCUCUCUCUAAUCUUGCAAUCUCCAUCCUCUCUUCCUUAUUCUUUCUCUGCUCCUUCCUCGAAUUCUUCUUUUUCCUAACUGACCCCUCAAUGGUCCUACUAUGCCCCAAAAUAGUAUCUUCUGCAUUUUCUUGGAACCGGUAUUCAUAUUCCUCUUGUUUUUCAAUCUCUUCCUCGUCCUCGGAUAGCAUGUUCAACUCCUCUUCCUCAACCUUUGCAUCUUCACCAAUCCACAGUUUAUUCUUAAAAUACUGUUUCAAGAACUUUGAAUUUUCAUCCAAUUGGUCAUCCCCAUCUCCAAAAUACUCGUCCAACUUCCUCUCAAAUUCUUCAUUUUUUUCCUCUUCCACUGUACCUCUCUCCUUCACUUUUAACAAUUCCUCCUCAUCAUUUUCAUCUUGCAAUUCGGCUGCCUCCAAAAAUGCCUUGCGUAUUUCCUCUUGCUCCGUAUCGUAAAUCUUCACAUUUUUAGUAUUCUCAUCAUUGAAUUCAGGACCCUCUUCAAUCAAAUGCUUCGCUACCACAUCUUUCAAAUACAUACUACUUUUCUUCUUUUCUGUUAAACUACCUUUGACGCCAUCAUUAUCCUUGCCAUGGCUGUCAUCAUCUGAAUCAAAAAGCUUGGCCUCUUUCUGUUUGAGUGUCGGAUCCUUCUUCUUUACCUUGAUUAAUGCAUUGAAGAACUUCAAGUCCUUCCUAAAGUUUUGGCUAUCUUCUUCCUCUGAAGAAGAUGAAUCAGAUUCCGAGCUUUCUGAUUCAGAGUCUUCAAUUAGACCCUUCUUCUUUAGCUCCUCUAAGCGCUGAAGAUCCUCUCGCUUCUUGUUAUGCUCAAACCUUUUAGCAUAAUCCUGAUUAAUUUCUAUCUUUGAGUUGUCAUUGUCAGAAUCACUUCCAUCAAAUAAUCGUAGACCCAUUGUUUCUGCAACAAGAAAAUGCUUCAAAUUAGGAUUUUCACGAAUACCAUAAAUAUUGAGCACUACAUGUAUAAAUUGGUAAGACCCUCAAUCUUUCAAUGUAGUGCAAAUUUUAUCCAUAAGAAGCAACAAAAUUGUAUUCUAAAAUUUAUAAAGAUUGUUAACUAAUCAAAUCAAUUAUUUAAAUUACAAAUAAAAACUAGACGUACCAAAGCAAACAUGACCCCUAUAGAGUAAAUGGAAAAGGAAGUACAACAAUGAUUGUACAUCAAAAAAAAAUGAAAGGCAAAAACAAUAGCUUUCACAGUACAUAAAAACGCAGAAAAAAAGUUUAAGGAGGGAUGAAACAGAAAUUGUAAGGGAGAGAGAGAAUGAACAUGAGCGACAAAAGAAAAUUUGAAAAUUACCAAACCAAAAUUUAAUCGAAAUUAUUCAAAUGCAAGCAUAGCCAAUUCCAUACAUUCGUUUAAAUUCAGCAUAUAUUCUAAUUGUCUAGUUACACAUGUGCAACAUCCAUAAAAGCAAUUCUUCUUAUACAACAAAAUGUAGUAUUAUAACUUUGUAGAUACUGAAGGGAGGAUCUCAUAUGUUCCCUUAAUUCUAAUUGAAGUUCAUUGUCUAAUCAAUAUAGUCGUUUCUUUAGAUAAAAUCCUACCCAUAGGUAAAAUCCUACCCAAGCUUAGAAAGCAAAUUGAAGAAGUGAGACAGAGUUUGACCAUACUUUACUACUAGAGCAAAUACAAAAAAUAGCAGACAAUUAAACAAAAAGAAGGCUCUACCAACAAUACUAGAUGGGAAUAUAACAAAAUGGAAUACACGAAUUCUUCAAAGUCGCAUAAUGACUCAUAUGUAUAGCAAAUGGACAUACUCAUAAGCAUAGGGUCACCUAUCAACAUGCUAGUUGUUACAAUGCCAUUAUGUUUAUAUAUCCAAAACACAUAUAAUUCAAGAACAUAAUACUUUAAAUCAAAAGAAAUAGAUAUAGUACAUAUGCACACAGCCAGCGUUUCAAAGCAACAUUCAAACUCAAUCCAAAACACCAAAAGUCAAGACUAAACUACAAAUAGAGUACCCAAAAAAGUUAUAAAUAUUAUAGACUAGGGGCGUAAUUGGGCUGGGCCGGGUUGGGUCUUUUUUUUUUACUAAGAAAUACACAGGCCACACCAAUCUUUUUAACAAUAAAGUAGGGAAAUUUUUUAAGUAAAGCAAUUUUUUUAAACAAAAUCAGUUCCAAAUCUAUCAAUUUGGAAUCUUUUUAACUAAGAAAUACACAGGUCAUCUCCUACCGUUGGUGACAAAAAUAAAGGUGAUCACAAAAAGAUUUAAAUAUUUAUACUCUUUCUAUAUAAGAUUUUCUACAAUUACAACGGUAUUUCAAAAAUUUCUAUAUAACACAGUUUCAACAAUUAAUUUCAUGAAGUUCUAUAUUUCAACGGUUUCUAAACCCUCUGUAUACAAAUGCAUUUGUUAGAUGCUUGGUUCUUAGAUGCUUCGAAAACUUAUGUUUCACUAUUCUUGAUGAUACAACCGUCAAACAAAUUCAUUUUUCCUAGAACCGAGUAUCUAAGGACGCAAUAAACAUUCAAAAAUCAAAGAGAAAAUCAAAACCAUACCUAUUAAUCAUUCUUUGAAAUUCAAACCAAACAGAAAAGCAGCCCAUUCACCUACUUAAGCAUCUCAAAUUAAACAUUGACUUCAGCGAAACCAAAUUUAACAUUAAGCAACACAAUUAAUUGGGAUUCAAAUUGGAAUUUAACUCAACAAGCAUGUUAAUUGAAUAAAUUUCACAAAGAAGAGGAUGUUUGCACAAGAAUCAUGGAAUUCAAAAGUAAAAAUCCUAAACAUAUUUAAAUCAAACACUGAAAGAAGAAAACUUCAGGCGUAGAAGUAUCAUCUGAAAUUUUAUCUGAAAUAAAACUUGAUGAAGAGUAAUUUUAUCUGAAAUAAAACUUGAUGAAGAGUAUCUUUAACUCCACGCCUCACUACUACUCAUUGGCUUUCUCUUAAAAUUUCAUUCCCCACUUCGAUUAGAUCACUCAGACAAAGACCCUUCUUCAGUUGUUUGAAUUUGAACUAAUAAAGAAUGUGACAUUACAUUACUGAAUCGUGAAAUGCAGUAUAAUAUAUUAAACUAAAUCGCGUGAAAAUACCUCAAAAGCUUCAACAGACACCGGAGGCUACCGUAAAAACGAAACCCACACCGGACAAACGAAGGAGAAUGAAGAUGAAGGAAGGAGAGAGACCUACGAAGCACGAAGUACGAACGACGGCUUCAAACAAAAACGAAGGUAUACCGGUUUCUUUAAAUUUAACCUAAUCGGGGUGAACCGUCAACCGAACCGACGGGUUCAGUUUGGUUUGGUUCGGUUCAAUAUUAUUAUUCUUGUAAACCAAACCAACCCAAGCCGAAUCGAGUUUAUCAGUUUUUGUAGUACCCAAAAAUUAAGAUAAUUUUAAUUAUCUUAAAUUUAUUUAAUUAUGUUGAAUUUUGGAUGUUGGAUGAGAAUGGUAUAAAUUUGUUGAAAUUAAAAUUAAUUAAGUAUUUAUUAGAAUAAUAUAUAAUUAAUUACUGAGAUUGAAAUUUUUGGUAUUGUUAUAUUGGAUGGUUAAAGAUGGAAUGAUUUUGAUGAAAUUUAAGGUUAUUGGUGACUUAUGUGUGUUUUAAGUAGGUUAUGGAAGAUUUAUGAUAAUUAUAUAUAUUGAAAAAGAAAUAUAUAAUUAUUAAGUGUUGUUUUAGAAAUAUUAAAAAAAAAAAAAAAGUUGAUUUGAUGAACAAUUAAUGGAGAAAAGAGAAAAGACUUAGGUUAAUUGGAAAAGGGAAAGGAAUAAUGCUAAUAACAAUAAAUGUUCCCUGCCCGAGCCGAUUGCUUCUCCCAGCCGAACCAUAAUCCCCUUCCCAAGCCAAGUUGCAUUGUUUUUGGGUUACUCUCAAAUAUCAAGUUCAUUACUUUGGAAGUAAUUUAGUUUUGGAUUUAAGUUGCAUUUUAUUUAAUUUAGAUUUAUUUGUUUGAAGGUCAUUGACAUUUUGGAAAAAAAAUGGUGUUGUUAUGAAGUUGUUCCCAUUCAAGGUUGUCUUUGCUUCAACCUUAGCCUUUGGGUAAGUUUGGAUGCUUAAGUAAAUAUUUGAUUGAUGGGUUGACAAAAGUAUUUAUUUUAAUUUUGUGUAUGAUUAAGACUCAAUUAAUUGGGAAUUGACCGUUAGGAAAUGACUAUAUUAUUUUAGCUAGCCUCCAGGUAAGAGACUCUUCUAUGUAAAUUUCGACAUUAAAGCUUGUAUGUAAAUUUCGUAUUUGAGAUGACCGUUAUAAAUGGCUACAUAAGUGACCGUUAUGUAUGGCGGAGAGAUGUAUGACUGAGAUAUGUUAUGACCAACAUACAUUAUGAAUGAGAUAUGCUAUGAAUGAGAUAUGCUAUGAUUGAGAUAUUUUUUACUGAGUUAUGAUUUUAUGAUAUGCUAUAUAUGUAUAGACUAUAGUGUUUUGUUAGCUUUGUCUGUUAGAGUUGUACCAUAUGGGUGUUCCUCGAGAUCACCACAUAUUUAUGCUUGUGUGGCUAGGUUUUAUGAGUGAUUCGAUGGGAUCACUUACAGCUUGACUCUCCUUUAGGGUGAUUCCUUCGGGUUCACUGAGGGUCUAGAUGUGUCCCUACGGGAUCACUGGAUAAUGUGCAUUCGGGAGCACAUUAGUUAUGCGGUACCUUCUUACAGGACUCUAACGAGAAGUUAACAGACACGUAGCGAACUAACAGUAAGUCCCUUACUAAGUAUAAAUUUAUACCCUCUUUUCUAUGUUUAAUUUUUCAGGCAAUGGUAGAGGUAAAGACAAGCUGGCGAAUGACAAGAAGUGACUGUGGUUCGCCAUAGGAGACAGUUUAUGUUUUCUUUCGCAUUUAUGUUUUCAAUAUUUAGUUUUUCAGGAAUUUAUUUCAUAACUCAUGUUUACUUUUAGAUAUUUCUUUUUAAAUAGGGCUCGAACUAAUAUUUUAUUUAUUAUUUUCUUUACAUACUUUAUUUAUAUUUUAUGAUUAAAUAUUUGAAACGUUUUUUUUAAACUUAGUGUUUUCUUUGAUUUAAAUAAAAAAAAUAUGUAUUUGUUUUAAUGGUAAUGACCUCAGCUUAGUAUAAAAUGUUGAAUCGUUAUAGGUUCAGCUCGUCGAUUCGUAAGGAUAUAAAUUCUACCACUUGAAAUUAAAAAAAAAAAAACCCCACAUAGAAAUAGAAUCAUUCAAGUGAGUCAUUCAUGUGGCAAAAGAGAGACUCCAGAUGUCAUUGGAGUUAUAUCUUUGCAUGCUUGUCUUGCUAAAAUGUGGUUCGAAUAUCACAUUUCAUUUGAGGUUAGCUUUAGAUGGAUUCAAUCUAUUCGGUCAUAUGAGUACCUCGUACAGUAUGUGGCAUCUGGUGUUAAUUCCGUAUAAUUUGCCACCAUGGAAAUGCAUGAAAGUGUCAAAAUUCUUUAUGUCAUUGCUCAUUCUCGGUCCUAAAUCCCCUGACAAAGAAAUUGAUGUGACCUACAACCAUUACUUGAGGAACUAAAAAAUCUAUGGACGUCUGGUGUGUGUACGCAUGAUUGUCUGACGGAUCAAUAUUUUCAGUUGUAUGCAGCAUUGUUGUGGACAAUUAAUGACUUUCUGACAUAUGGUGAUCUAUCCGGUUGGAAUACAAACGGAUAUCAGGCAUGUUCCAUUUGCAUGGGGGAUAGAUCAUCGUUCAAAAUAUGCAAAAAGAUAGCAUUCAUGGGGCAUCGACGAUAUCUUCCAGACAACCAUGUUUGGCGUAGAAGUAGACUCCAUGAUGGAAAUGUAGAGCAUAAACCACCUCCAGUUGUAAUGAAUGACCAAGAAAUAUUGGAACAACUAGAUCUUGGAGUUUCUAGUAAUGAGUAAGCAUCAUUCGUUAAAAGAUAGAAAAGAAAAAGAGUUCUUAAUUGGACUAAGAAAAGUAUUUUUUUUUCGAUCUUCCUUAUUAGUCAUGAUUACUUAUUGGUCAAAACUACUUAUUCGUCACAAACUUGAUGUAAUGCACAUUGAAAAGAAUGUUUGUGACAACUUGGUCGGUACAUUGUUGAAUAUUGAAGGAAAAACAAAAGAUACCACGAAUGCCCGAUUAGAUUUACAAGAUUUGAAGAUAAGAAAGAAUAAUUUACAUUUGGUAGAAGUGGGUAACCGAUUGGUGAAACCAAAUGCGAGCUAUACCUUGACUAGUAGCGAGCGGAUUGAGUUCUUGAAAGUAGUUAAGUUUCCUGACGGAUUCGUUUCUAAUAUUUCACGAUGCGUGAAUGCAAACGAGGGGAAAAUAUCAGGUCUCAAAAGGCACAACUGUCAUGUACUGCUACGCCGACUUCUUCCAAUCGGUGUUAGAGAAUUUUUACCAAAAAAUGUGUACACUGAAAUUACUGAACUGUGUAGUUUUUUUCGUGAUUUGUGCGUUAGGACAAUAAGAAUAAGUGAUUUGAAUAGAUUGCAGUCAUAUAUUAUAACUAUAUUGUGCAAAUUGGAAAGAAUAUUUCCACCUGCUUUUUUCAGCGUCAUGGUAUACCUUGCAGUUCACUUGCCAUAUGAGACGAAGGUUACUGGUCCGGUUUCUUACAAUUGGAUGUAUCCUAUUGAAAGAAGUCUCCACACACUAAAAUAAUACGUUCGUAACAAAGCACGUUCUAAGAGGUCUAUUGCAGAAGAAUAUCUUAAGAACGAAUUAAGUACUUUUUGUUCACGAUAUCUAAAGGGGAUUGAGACACAAUUCACUAGAGAUGAUUGAAAUGGCGAUAGCAUUGAAAAGGAUGAAGUCAUUGGUGAGUUCGAAGUAUUCAUUCAGAAGGUACGACCAUCGAGAGCAUCACAUUUAUGAAGUAUAUCACAAGAAGAGAAACGACUCUUUCAUUGGUACAUCCUCAACAACGUGGAUGAAAUAGCUGAGUACUGAAAGUACGCAUUUUCUAUAUCUUGAUCAAUUCACAUAUUCAUUUGACAAUAUAUAUAUUUUAGGGUUUUAUACCUUGUCGACACGCAAACUCACAAUUGGGUACUUUAGGAAACACCUGCUUUUGAUACGUCAUCAGGGUGAAAGCUUUUAUGGACUGUUCAAAAGACACCAACGAGAAUUUGUUGAUUGGUUCAAAGCUCAGGUAUUUCGAGUAAAUGACUUUGAGCAUUUCUACUUGAUACAUAUUUUAUACAUUUAAGUACUUUUAUGGUACACCAAUUUCAGGUUAUGACAGAAAUGCGUGACAAUUCAAACAUUCCUCAAGAUUUAUUUUCACUCCCAAUAUAAUGGGACUAUCACUUGAUGUCCACUCUUACAGUGAAUGCAUUAUAGGUCGUUGGAGUAUGAUUCUCGACGCACAACACAAAAUAGUGAAGUCAUGGUAAUCUGGGUAUUUUCACUCCCAAUAUUUUUUACGGUGUUUUGGACGAACUGUUGCACAUUCAAUAUCCAUUUGAAAAGCAUGCUUGGCUAUUUAAGGGUCGAUGGUUUGACACAGAGAAAACAAAAAUCAUAGAACGCACGAGGAACUAGGCUACAAAUCAAUAAGCACGUCUUGUUUUUUGUUCGUUGAGGAACCCGUGAUUCUCGCAACCCAGGCAUAUCAGGUGUUCUACAUUGAGGAUCCUAAAAAUGGUAUUAAUUGGAAAAUUGUUCAAGUGGUGCAAAAUAAACAUGUAUGGAACGUGCCAAAAGUGAAAGAUAUUGAGAAUGAUCAACUUAAUGUACUGGAAGUCGUCGUUAAACAUCGUGUAGACGAACACGUCAUUGAGGAUGACACUCUAUGUAAGACUGAAGUUGAUCCUACAAUAGUGGAAAGACCAAGUGUUCGUCAUGUCAUGAAAAAUUUCAUAAACGAUGAAGAUGAUGAACAAUCAUCACAUCAAAGCGGGUUAAGCGAUGAUGAAUAACAAUGUUUUUUUGACGUAUACACACUUUUAGUCAUUUUUCUAUACAUUAAUUACGUUGUGACGAUAAUCACGUUUGUUUAAUGUUUAUUGAUUUUUAUGUCUGCAGAAAUAAUGCAAUCUAACUUUCCGAGUAAUAUGCAUGAGGAAGACUAUUUCCUUUAUCUAGACGCGUUGGAUAACGCAUGCGGUUCGUCGUCAGUAGACGACACUUCAGGUUCGUAAUAACUAGCAUACUUAACACAAUUUCUCUCAACGAAUCAUGUUGUUAAGUUAUGCUUAUUGUAUCUAAUAAACAAUCGUUUUCAGUAAAUCCCUCUCAUCCGACACCCACUCCCACUGUGAGGAGAGUACGACGAUAUUCUCGAAACAUAGAUGUCGAGCGGUACGUACAGCAGAAUGAGAGCAUUCCCAUUUCCAUCCUCCCUAAAGGGGAUAGACCUGUCUUAGCACAAGCCCCUCGUUUCAGUUGCAUGAUCAGUGUGUUGACACAAGACAAGUUUCCUAUUCAACCUCUGAAGUGGGCAGAUGUACCACUAGAGUGCAUCGAGGUCGUCAAGGAGGCCUAACGGUAAGUCUGUAAAUUUAUAAACUAUAAAAGCUAUACUGACUUGAAAUCCAUUUCUUUUGUAGGAAUUUUCCGUGUUCGAUCUAAACAAUCCAUCACUUAAUCGAUUUAUUGAACAUCAAAUGCUCACCAUGUGGAAGAAAUUCAAGUAAGUAACCAUCGUCAUUUAAAGAAAUUUAGCGACCCUGAACAAGCACGGGCAAACCCAUCCCCGAGAUUGGUCAAUCGGGUGAAAUGUUUCUGUGACCACUACAUCACUCGACAAUUUCAUGUAAUUUAUAUAUUUUUAUAUUGAAAUCAAUUAACAUUUAUUUAUUUGAAAGUAUAAUGUUUUGAUCAUCGUCAUUUUUGGAAUGUAGAAGCAAUCAAAUAUGUGCAGUGCUGUUAGGGCGCAACAACCUUACAACCACAGGAGCGGCACAAAGUCGUUUCUUCAGAGACAAACAGAGCACACUAAACUACAUGGUCGUCCAAUGGAUCGUGUUGAGUUAUUUAGAGAAACGUGUGUCAGUACUAGUGGCGAGUUCAUUUCACCAACCUAGUAGGUCGCCGCAAGGUCAAAACUUUUUCACUACUUCCACCUUUGUGCUGAGAAAUGAUAUUCAUCGAGAUACACUAGGUCUUGAUUAUUAGAUAACAUGAAUUCAAUUAAUGAAAAGAAUACUUCAACCUUAACAUAUCUCUCUUUCUGCUCAUCAAUCAUGGAUCGAAUCCUAAUUUCUUUUAUACUGAAUGUUUGUAUAUGGAGUAUGGUCCUUGAUAUCACAUUAGAUAACAUGAAUUUUUAACUCAAAACAAAUUGACAAUGAAAAGAGUAAUUCAUUUAUGUUAUACAAGUAUUAUAAGGCCCUUCGAUUGUUUUCAAUAUGACAUCUUCAGCAAGGCUCAUGCACCCUUCUUUAUCUAGUUUUGUUUAUCUUAGCAAUCACCUUUUUCAGGUCAAUUUUGUAACAAACUAGUCCCUUUUCAUGCUUGUUAUGAAGUCACCCCAUGGUCUUUUGGAUAAUACUACAGUAUCUCUUGUGGCCAUACAAGUUGACCUUAUAAACCUCUCAUGGUCCCAUUGCAAACAAGGGAUUCUCCAAAAAAUGUAAGCAACCUUGAUCCCUCUUCCUGACCUAAAAGCAUGAAAUUCGAAACCAACAAAUAAUUAAGCACACCCAAGAGAUAAUUAAUACAUACAUAAGAUGCGAAGAAUGUAAAGAUAAAUUAGUUAUGCUUGUAUUGAUUUUAUAAGUGUAUAUUACUUUUUUUUUUUUUUUUAACUUUCAAACACCUUUCUAAACACUUAUGAGUUAUGAAGUUGUAGUAUGAAUAUUUUGAAAUAUUCUUUCCAGAGAGAACUCAAAGCAAUUACGGCAUAAAUUGUGCUAACAUGAACAAUUUGGGUGUCCAAGAGGAAGGAUCUCUAUAGCAUAUGUUUCAGUUUUUCUACCACAUGGUUGAUACAAUUUCUUCCCCCAUGCAAUGGAUCCAAUUUCUGCUUUAACUAUUGACCCAUCUACUGAAAUGGACUCGAAAAACCAGAACCCAAGAAGCACGGCUAAAAGAAGCGAUCGAGUUGGAGUUCAUAUUUGCACAGAAAAAAAAAGUAUCUAUUGGGGGAUUUCAUUCAGAUGGGCAAACACCAUUUAAGUACAGAAUGUCUCAUAAAGAAGACACUUGAAUUCCUGGAUUAUAUGGAAAGAAUGUGGAGAAGAAUAUAAAAGAAUAAUUCUUUACAACUAAGAGCCUCAUAACUAUGGGAGGUUUUAAGUAAGCCAUGUUGAUAUGUAUUGAAAGGGAUUUCGUCUUGCUAAUUAGUGGCGCCCUUAGGUUAAACUUUCUCUGUAAAGUCAAGUUCUUAAAUUAGUUUAAAACAAGCAAGCCUUGUGACUAGGCUACUGCCUACUAGUCAUAACAAAUUUUCAACAUUCCACAGUAGAGCUGAUCGUCAAAAUGCUGCACCGAUAAAAUAUCCAAUAUCAACUUAGGUUGGUCUACUUCAGGCUUUAUCAAACAAACAUUUUUUAUGCACAAAGAAGUAGAUUGAAAUUGAAAUUUACUCACUUGGCUGAUGGAUCAGACAACUAGUAGUUCCAAAAUGUUUGUAGAUUUCCCUUUUUGCUCCAGCGUGAUAGAUUGCAGUUGCAAAAUCAACUACAUAUAUAGGGCCAUAGGGGUGAAUGCGAUUAGCUAUCACUCAUUUGCCACAAGUGGGCAAAUGUCGAUAUGCAUUAAUUCUAGCUCAAUAGAAUGAAACAUAUUGGAGAUCACCAAUAAUCCCGACAAGAGCAUGAGCCAUCCUUAAAAUGAUGGAACCGAUUAGCAUCUCUCAAGAUGAUCUCUCUUCCUGUAACCUUCGCAAUUAGUUUAAUUGCAGCGUGGCAAUCCCCACAGACACGGAGAUUCUUCAUUACACGAAUCGGCAUACCUAUUGGUAUUUUGAGAAGUCCGUAUGCCACAGCCAGUUUCUCACUAUGGUACUCCAAGCUUUGCACUUUCUCUUCUUCAUCUACGUCAUGUAGCACAAAACUUUGAUCUGGGUAAUAUCCUGCCUCUCUUAGCAAUCCAGACAACCACUCUAAUAUUCUAUUGAUCUCAGAAUGCUCAGGGUGUCCCGAGCUAUCACCUCCCGUGAACUUAUGAACUUUCUUCUCGACAACAAUCCAGCUACAGCCUGGGUACUUGCUCACACGCCUAUCUCUCAUAUUUCUCCUCAACUCAGCAACAUCAUCCCAUCUACCUUGAGAUGCAUAGAUAUUUGACAACAAAAUGAAAGGCCCUGCAUUUUUAGGCUCAAGCACUAGAAGCUUUUUGGCUGCAACUUCAGCCAAAUCCAAUUUCAUGUGGGUUCUGCAAGCACCUAAUAAAGCACCCCAAAUAAUAGCAUCGGCUUCCAUUGGCAUUUUUUCUAUUAGAUCCAUUGCCUCAUUUAGUUUACCAGCUCGACCAAGCAAAUCAACCAUGCAGGCAUAAUGUUCAAUUUUUUGUUCCACUUGAUACUUCGUUUCCAUGGAAUUGAAAAUUUCUAAGCCUUUUUUCACAUUGCCAGUGUAACUACAUGCCGAAAGAACUCCAACAAAUGUGACAUCAUCUGGCAUGAUACCUGAAAAAUGCAUAUCGUGGAAAACUCGUAAUGCUUCCACCCCUAGACCAUGUUGGGCAUAUCCUGUGAUAAUCGAGUUCCACAUGACAACAUCCUUAACUGCAAACCUAUCAAAUACUUGUUUUGCUUUCGCCAGAUUGCCACACUUUAUGUACAUUGAGAGAAGAACGGAGGCAACAUAGACAUCAAGGUCAAAUUGGGAUCUCACAAGCUGGGCAUGUAUCUCUCUACCAUGAUCAAGAUUAGCCAAGCCAGCACAAACGGAAAGAACGCUGAUCAAAGAAGGAAAAUUUGGCCUUAUUCCUUCUCUUUGCAUCAUACGAAACAACUCAAGUGCAUCUAACUCAAGGCCUUUCCGUUCAUACACUUUAAUCAUAGCACUCCAUGUUCCUUCAUCCUUUUCUCUCAUUUGAUCAAACACUUGUCUUGCUUUUGGGACCUCCCCAUUCUGGCCAAAACAAAGAAUCAUUGCAUUACAAGCAACAACCGACUUAAUUGGCAUUGCAUUAAAAAGUUCUGAAGCCUCAUCAAGCCGCCCACAAUUGGUGUAGCCUUUCAGCAUAGCAGUCCAUGAAACCUCAUUUUUCUCUGGCAUGACUUCAAACAGCUUUCUAGCAAUAUCCACUUGUUGGUUCUGCACAUAUCCUGUUAUCAUCGUAGUCCAUGACACGACAUUCCGACGAGGCAUCUCAUCGAAAAGCAUACGAGCUUCCACUAAACGGCCUACUUGGCAAUACCCUCCAAUCAUAUUAGUUCGUGUCACCACAUCCUUCUCAGGCAUCAUAUCGAAAAGCCUACAAGCCUCAUCAAUCCGUCCUUCUUGAAGAAGGCCACCCAACAUCACCGUCCAAGAUACUACAUUCUUUUCAGGCAUUUGCCAAAAAAGUGUCUCUGCCUCAGAAAUCAUACCUUCCUUCACGUACCCUCUGACCAUUGCAGUCCAGGAAACAACAUUCCUCUCAGGCAUUCUAUCAAACACUUCCCUAGCUUCAUUGAUCAUCCCAUUGUUAAUAUACCCAGAAACUAAACCAUUCCAAGAUAUAGUAUUCCUCUCAGACAUUUUAUCAAACAUGUUCUGGGCUUCCUGAGGCCGUUUGUUCUGAAAGUACCCAGCAACAAUUGAGUUCCAUGAAAUGAUGUUUUUGUCACGCAUUUCAUCGAACACAACCCGAGCCUUUUCGAUUUGACCCAAUCGAGAAUACCGGGUAAUAAGAGAAUUACGUGAAAUUAUAAAAUUAGAACAGUAGAAACGAUUUAGCACCAACCGGAAGAACAUUAAUCCAGAGAACAUUGAAUACCCAGGUUGAGAAAAACACUACAAGUUCCAAAAUUUUGAAUAACAAGCUAUAGAAGCAAACAGUUAAAAGAAUACUAAAUGAAGAGGCAGAGUGAUGAAAGAACAGAACUUUACUUUUCUUCCACUUGCCUAAAUGGAGAAAAGAGAUUCAAAACGAAAUAGUAAAAUAAUCCGCCAAGUCAGUGACAUCUCUUAACAAAUUAUUUUCGUAAAUGAAUUGCCUCUUUCACCACGUAAACAUUUUCCACACAAGUUUCAUACCAAAAUAUAAACCAACUAUUUCCUAGGAUCAUUCUACACAGUUAAUUUUAUUUGUGUGUACUCUUUACCACACUCUUUACCACACUCUUCUGUCAAGUUAUAGUCAUACCAAAAAAAUUCUAAGGCAUUAGUAAGUAAAAUAAAUUUUCUUAAAUAUAAUCGGUCUUACCAUGCCUCACACACCAAGUAGAGAUAUUAAAAAAAAAACCAGUAAUCCGACUUAUCCAACCCAAACCAUAAGGGUUGAGUUGGGUUAGAUUUUUAUGUUGAGUUGGGUUGGAUUAAAAAAAUAGAAAAAUAAGUUUUUGUGUCAGAUUGUCAGGUUGAAGGGAUCGAGUUGACCCAACCUGACCCGGUUGUACAUAAUAUAAUAAUAAUAAUAAUAAAAUCUAAACUAAAGAGAAGCCCAAACCACCAAACAUCUUCCUCUUCAUUUCGCUUCACUUCACAUAUCUCUCCUUCAACCUCUUCUUCAUUCGCACGCAACCGUCUCCUUCAACAAGAUCUCUAUCAUUCGCCCCCUCGCUCUGCCUCAUAGCCUCUCCGACGUUCGCCUCCCUCUCAAUCUUCACCUCCACCUCACAGUCUCUCCAUCGUUCGCUCCUCUCUUGAACAUAUCUAAGGUUUGAUCUUGAAUAUUCUUCCUUAGUUUUCAUUGAAGUAUUUUUUUUUGUUUAGUUUUAAUGAGGUAUUAAUUACACCACAAGAUGGAUUUGAGGGUUUGUUUAGAAGAAAUUGAAAAAAUGUUUGAGGUGGUUGAGGUGGACCGAAAAAAAAUGUUUCAACAAUUUUUCAAAAGUGUGCUAGUUUUACUAGACAAAACCUAUUAAAACGAUGUUUCUCACAAUUUUCCAUUCAACAAAUUUUAUUAUUGCUGAGUUUAAUCCAACAAUAAUCGACAUGAUGUCUAUCGAACAAUAAUCGACAUGAUGUCUAUCGAUCAAAUUUUGAUUUUACAUUCCUAGAACUGUUGUAAUAAGAACUAAAUAACGAAAAAAUUUACUCGGUUGAUAUAUUCACAAGUAACUUCAACAAAAAAAAUUAUGGAAUAACUUUAUUAUUUUUGUGAGUAUAAAUGAUAGCGUAUAAAACACGAUAUCUUAUAGUACUUAACUCAAGGUCAUUCUUUCAUUUUACAUGUCUAUUCCUUGAUUUUUUAGGUAUCGAGCAUAAUUCAGGUUAUUCCAUCCCAUAAUGUCAAUUUCGGGACAAAGCGAGCUUAAUUGAAUGGGUAGAGUGUCAAUGGGAGUGAGGAAAUUUAAUUGGAGCAAAGAAGGAAGGGUGCUACAAGACAGAGUGAACGAUUUUCGUGCACAACCUUCAACACUGUGAAGUUAUCCUUGUUAACUUUGUGGAGAAUAUAUCCAAGUAAGACACAUAAUUCCAAAUCUAGCUAUUUAAAAAAAAUUGCAAAUAUGGCGUUGAAAACUAAAAAAAUGAUAUUUUAUCUCGGAGUCUUUUAAAAAAUACAACAAAGAGGUAAAAUAUUUACAAAGUAUAGAACAAUUUUGAAAGUGAAAAAAAUCCACAUGCCCACAAUAAAAAAUUCCAAAAAUGCCACAUUAAUUGACAUCCAAUGUGCGUGAUAUAUUAGGGAAAUGAUCAUUUAGAUUUGACUAUUCUUUCUGAGAUCCUUUAGAUUUGGGUAGACAAAUCUCAACGAUUUUUUUUCAAGAUUUUUUUUGUACACAAUCGUUUAUAUUUGAAAAACGAUCGUUUAGAUUUGAUCAUUUAAAUUUGGGUAGCCAAAUUGCAACGAUUUUUUUUCAAGAGUUUUUUAGUACACGAUCAUUUAUAUUUGAAAAAUGAUCAUUUAGAUUUGGUACACAAUGUUUAUAUUCGUAACAUGACCCACUACAAGAACGAGAGUUUCCCAACAUCGUGACGGACGUCGGGAAACAAAACGUCAAGAAACAAAACUAAUAUUGACGCAGAUAAUGUGGCGUUGGUUUAAUCUCGCAAGCCUGAUGUCGUAAUCCCAAACGUCAGACAUCGUCCGUCAUUUUCAUUUUUUUUAAUUUAUCAUUAAGCUUUCCCCACGCACUCAAAAAUAACGUCAGGGAACCUUAAAAUGUAAAUUUUAUUUCUAAACUUUUCCCCGACGUCAAGGACAAACACAUCAGAAAAAAGUGAAUAUAUUAUUUAAUUGUUGAGCAUCCCCUAACGUCAACGUUCCUGGCGUCGGGAAAAGAAUUAUUAUUAUUUCAUUUUUUAAUUUUCCCCGACGCCAUGCGAACAUAUGUAAAAAAUGUGUAAAUAUUUUCUCGACGUUUCACUUUAUGGCAUCGGAAAUAGGGAGAUCUCCCGACGUCUUCGAAGUGCGUCAGAAGAUCUCCUACAUAUUUGAGUUGUGCGUUCAUAGAAAACAGAACUUAAAUCGAAAGGAAAAGAGGAAGAUCAGGCCUAAAGAGAGAGAUCGUCGUGCCAAAGUCGUAUGCCAUCCUAUUUGACUGCCGCUCGCCACCUAUCCUGUCGUACCACCCCUGUCCAAUGUUGUUGCCUACCCUAUCUCUUUGUUCUUUGAACUUCAAAAAAGUAAUUUUAAAAAAAAAAAAAUCCCUAAAACUCUUUGAUAAUUUAGAUUUAUUUUGUGGUUGAAUUAGAUUUAUAUUUGAUUUUGUAGGAGUGGAUUAAUGGAUUAUAUUGUAAUGAAUUAGUGUGUACAAUUUGUGGAAUGUUGUGAUUGUUGUUGUAUUUGUGGAAUAAAUUCUUUGAACAGUAAAACAAUAAAACAUAAUACGAAGAGAAAGAACAUAGAGCUCUCAUUUUUACAGUUGCUCUUGUUCUUCUUCUUUGAAUCCAUGGAAACUUUAACUAAAAUAGAAGUAAGGUUUUACCAUGUUGUUCUUGUUGUUACUGUUGGAAUCCAUGGAUGAAGAGCUCUCGAUUCUUCGAAUAUUGUUUGAGUGUUUACUGUAAAGAAUGCAAGUUGAGGAACGUUUUGUGCAUUAAAAGAUUUUAAACUAAUUUUAGUAUUUAGAUUUUUAUUUAGUGGUUGGUUUUAGUAUUGUAAGGAUUUUGGAUUUUUGAUUUAAGAUUGAAGUCAAAAUUCAAGAUUGAAGAAUGCAUAAUGUUGGGAGGGACGUUAUUCUUUGUUAUUCAAAAUUACAUAAAACUAUGUUGAAACUUUGUAUUUAUAUUGUAUGUAUAGAUUGUAGAUCGUAUGCACGUUUGAUAUUAAAUUUGUGAUAUAUUUCAUACUUAUAAUAUGUUAUUGAAGCUGCAAAUAAAGAAAAUGAAGAGUAUGAGAAGACUAUAGAAGAGCUUAGAUGCAAUAAUUUUCUUUGACUGCGUUUGAGAACCUUGAAUCCAAGAAUUAAAAAAGAGAAGAAUGUGCAAUGAGAGAAGUUUAACAUUAUUACGAGUUGUGUCAAAAGAAAAAUGAGGUUGCUUCAAAUAGAAACGACCCUUGCCCUGGUGGUUUCAGAAAACUGAUUGAACAAGUGGAGCAGAAAAUGAUGAGACCGAGAACUGAACAGGUAAGCUAUGGAAAGUUCCUUAGUUGCUUUGAUGGCAUCUAUCUAAGCUUUUAUAUAGUGAUCGUUUAGAUUUUAUCGUUUAGAUUUGAUAGUUGCCAAAACGAGCUUUUAACUCACAAUAACAAACAUAAUCUUCCAUCCUAGAGGCGUGAGGUUUGAAUUUCUCAACAUCUAAUUGUUGUACUAAAAAAUAAUAAUAAGAAAAGAAUGAACAGAUAUUAGGAAAAAAAACUCUGAAGAUGUUUGUUUUUCUAUUAUUUUUUUUUUCAACAUGUAGUGAGUGUCAUAUAUAGAUGUCAUGGAAACAAAAGUAAACAAAAGGAGAAAAAUAAUUAUUAGGUAGAUGUCACCUUGAAUUGAAUCCAUGACCGAGUUAGCUAACUUUUAAGAUAUUUAUUAUAACAUACUUUUAGUAUUUUUUUAACUGUUUUAAUUGUACUCGGGAUAAAGAAUAUUCUUGAACUUCAAAAAAAAUUCAAGCAUGCAAUUAAACUUUCAAACAACAAAAUUUUUUUAAAAAAAACCCAUACCAUUGGUUCUAUAUGAAAACCGUGAGUGUUUUAAGAAAACUCGAAAUUUGAAAAAAAAAUUAAAAAACCUCCCAACUUAAAGAUUGUUAAAAAGUAUAUUUGUACAAACAAAAACAACGAGUACCUCGUUGCAAAAAUACUUCUUUCAAAAGUUGUAUGAGUUUCCUUAUAUUUUAAAAAAAAAACAGGACUAACCCAAAGUAACUUCAAAUAAACUCAUAACUAUACAAACUAUUGAAACAUUUUUAAACUUCUUUUUUAAAAGGUUUUUAAUGGUAGAAACAUUAUUUUGAAGGUUCAAGAUAUCUUCUUAAAUGGGUAUUUUCAAUUUAUGCCCUUGUUACUAAAAAUAAGGAUAUGUAUAAAAUUCUUUGAAGCUUAAGAGUAUUACUAUAAUUUUCUUAAGUUCACAUAGUCAGUUUUGAAACAGAGUAUUAAUAGCUUCCCUUCCAUACUAACCAUAAGAAUACUUUUUAAAACAUUUUGAAGUAGAAGGUUAUAUUAAUGAAACUCUUAAAAGCUAAGAAACUUGGGGAUUUUUCUCCUCACCAUAAUUCAUAUCUUUAAAGUUCAAAUAAAUGAAAAAAAUGGCAAAUUUAGAAAGAAUUGCAGUGGUCCCACAGUGAACUGAUAUGAAAUCACUUCUUCACAGAGCGAAGUAAAAAGAUUCUUUUUAACUAAAAAUAUGACCAUGCCUCAAAUGGACAAUUGGGAAAAAGCAUCUAUAUAUAUAUAUAUAAUUAAAAUAAAAACAUGGCCAUUUGGUUGGGAAUGAUGUAAUCCAAUAUACUUCUAAUUCUAUUGGCCAAGAUAGUGGAAUCUGAAUGUGUUUUUCUCAACAUGGUAUAUUUAAAAUAAUAAUAAUGACAAUAAAAGUAAAAAAAAUAUCACCUUCUUAGUUCUUUUAAGUUCUCAUGAGCAGCCACUCUAAAAUAUGACUUGCCAUUUGCAUAAUCUAUACUCAAAAAGCAUCUUUCAAUAUCUAAAAAGGCAUAACUAAUAGAAGUAACACUGAACAAUAUGAUAUGGGCUUAAUAUUGAGCAAGCAAAUGGCUUCUUUGCCUUUAUUUACUGAAAUUGUUACUAUCAACUAAGUAGUCUUCUUAGUAGCAUAUAUAAGUUAGUAAGCUGUGCAUCAAAUUCUAUUCACAGUAUUCCCCACUAAUCUGGCCUCCUAAGUAAUCUCAAAACGAAAGAAAGAAGCUAUCUACAAUUUGGCCAUUAAGGAAAUUAUUUCCUCUUUUCAAAGAGAGAGAAAAAAAGAAGAAAAGGCAAGGCCUCCCUUUCAACAAGGCUUUACCCUCCCAUUGCCCUACCCGUCUCAAUCUCAAAUCAACAUAUGUUAAGAGAUGAUAUACGUGACCUGUGUGUGGUUAUGUUGUCAAAGAUCUUGUCCCAGCCUCAAGAAUGCUCCGACUUGAUCAAAAGUUGAAUCAGACCAAGGAAUCACCUUGUCCGAUGCUGAACUUGCAGAGAGGGCAGGUUGCGUUUAUUCGAAGCCAUUUGACAAUGCAUCGAGUAUGGAAAUGAUGAUUACAAGGAAGCAUGCACAAUUGAACUCCAUGUACAUACUGAGCAAGGCAUAUGCAGCAUGCCUGCAAAUAUAAUACCAUAGAGUUAAUCAAAUAGCAAAGAGUCCUACAAUGCUAUGAUAAAAGGCACUAUGAAGGAUAAAAAAAGAUUCUUCUAAAACAAGGAAUCAUGAUUCAGUUUGUGUCAGAUAAAGCAUUUUAAAAGAAGAAAACUCCAUGGAGAAAUAUCUUGUAAAGGUAACCAGGAUACCUUUGUUGAUGGUAUACAUGUAAAAAUAGGAAAAUUUUGUCGAAGUAACAAUACAAGAUGUCUAUUUUAUGAGUAUGAUGAUACGGGGUAAAAGUAGAAACUGUGCAGAUAAAUUAUUGGUUAAAUUAUAACAAAUAUCCUUGAACUUUGGCAUUUAUUUUUAAAAAAUUCUUAUACUUUCAAAAGUUGUAAUAUUACCCUUGAACUUUUCAUAAAUGUUUCAUAAAUACUCUUGUGGUAGAAAUUCUUUAGAAUUUAGAAACAAACUGAGAUAGAAAAAUUUUCAUUUAUCCAUGGUGGUAUGAAAAGAGAAUGAAAGUACAAAUAAGAUUGUUGCUCACCGAGUCCUCUGCAUUUAGAGUGUGUUCAGUUGUAUGACCAUUGUAGCCAGGCUCCAAUGUCAUCCCAACUUCUUGUUUCUUGUCAUUGUCGAACGACUCAAGUGGAUUGUCUUGGUGAAACCUGUACUUGGGAAGUGCCCUAAUUUCAUCCUCAGAGGCACCUUCUAGGAAAUUCAUGGUAUAACCAUAUGCUAAAAAUGGUAUUAUGCAGCAAACAGCAAAGAAACCAACAAACGCCAUCCCGGUGCAGAAGAUAAUAAAAAACACAUCAAAGGCUAGGAAAACAACUGCCAACCUGCAUUUGAUAUCAUGAGUCCAUCAGUGAAGCCUCAUAUUUGACUUCCAUCAAGACAAACGAGAAGUUUUCAUACAAAUAUGACAAUGAUAUUGAAAUGAUAACGACAACGACAACAACAACAACAACAAAAAAGGUAUCACCAAGAAACAAUGUAGAACUCAAGGGAAAUAUAACCACAGGUCCAGAAGCAGAAACUCAAAGUAACUAGAAAAUAAUAUGAAAACACGACCUGAGUGCUUCUUUCAGUGAUGAACAGGAGUUAGUGAAAAGGAAAGCGCAUUUAUCACAAAAUAACAUAUUUUAGACUCACACAUUUACGGGAAGUUAUAUCGGAAUCGAGAUCACAAAAUGAAGAUGCAUUAUUUAUUCUCACAAAGUAAUUUGAGAAACUAGUAAAUCUAAUGGAAUUUUAGAAGCUGCGAUAGCUAGUGAUGGAGAGCGAAUACAUUUCAAGCAAACUGGUAUAUUCCAUAUUACAUCAUUAUUCUACUAAUUUGCUGAUAAACCACAGGCAUGGUUAGGUAGAGAAAGAAAAGGGUUUCAAGACCCUAAGAGAGAGUAUUAACCAGUACAGUCGGGGAGAACCUUCCAGAAGAGCUUGGCCACCCAUGACAAUCCAAUAGAAUCCAAAUACCCACCAGAUAUAUGCUACCAUUGUGUUCAGUGCUUCCAACCUUUUCAUAACUCUAGGGAAAAAACAGAGGGGGUAAAAAGAGAGUUGAACAAGACUGAAAAUACAAAGAUUGAUGAAACAUCUACAUGUAUUGUCACAAGAAGAAAAAUAAGUAAACGUGCAAAUAUCUUGACUGGAAAUAAAUUCCUGCUAAUAAGUGUAAAAUCCUUCAGAGACAUGGAAACCAAAAACCUAAUCCAAUAAAUUUUUAAAUGGAGAAACAAGAUUUAUUACCAUAAAUGAAAUAAAGAUACCUAAGCAAGUCCUUUACCAAGGGGAAACCCCAAAGUACCUAGGUGAUACAUAGUUUCUUAGCAUACAUAAUCAAAUUCAUUACCAUAUAUAAUACGUGCUACAUUCUUUACAUGAGACGAAAAAACAUCAUUCCAAAUAUAAAUUAAGUAUACUGCACAUAGUAACCACUUUAAAAGCAAAAAGUUCAAAUAAACAUGUCUUUUUUUCUACAAGAACCAUAACAAAACUAUCAAACUUGUCACUAAGUUCACCCUCAUUAGUAAUGGCUGAAUUCAGUAACAAUGUUGCAUUAGACACCAAAACUUUCCUCCUACAUUCUAAAAGUAUCAAUUUAUGAUUUGACAUGGAAAAGAAUACUCAAUUCAACCGACUGUCAAAAUAUAGAAUCCCUUCGAAAUUAAACUAGUAGAACUCAAUUCAUCAAGUUAGCUCAACAUCCAAAAGAACUCUAUGCCAACGACUUGGGUAGUUUUCUUUCCCCCCUCCCAACACCAUGAAGAAAAUGAAAAAAAAAAUAAUAUAUGGGAUGACACAUGCAUAUAAUCCGAUAGUUAAUUAAACUGAUCGUAAUCUAUUCGAUGAAAAUCCCCACAAAGUAGCAGAAAAUCUUCACAUAACAAUCAUUCUAAGAACCCAAUAAGUAAACUCAUCGGAAAACCGAAUACAGUCUAAAAUUAGACAUAAAAGAGAAACCAAUUCAAACCAAAAACCCCACCCCGACAAAAUUUUCCUCAAAACAGAAGUUACCUUAUACGAUUGUGAGAAAGGCGAAGUUCAUCCUGAGCCCCACGAUUCUCAAAACCAAGUCGAUAGCGACUACUCCUUCUCAAGUAAGCAACGAACACAAAAAAGACAUGGAAAAGGCACUGAACAGCAUAACCCGAAAGCCAGAAUCUCAAAGGAGCAGUAGGUUUCUCUUCUGCAGACAAUACCAGCACUAUGACAGAUAAAAAGACGAAGAACAAAUUCCAGAACAAGUCGAGUACCAAAAUAGGCUUGAUAAAGGAAGACCCAUUCCGGAAUAGAACACGACGCUCGUAUUCAUUAUCAUCUUCGUCAUCGUCGACUCGAGGAUCGGCACAGUCACCAAAUAUUACGCCGCGAUGUUCCAUGAUCAAAUUUGCAGCGUCUUGAAUCAAGGGAAGCGCGAAUCUGGAGCUCAUGGUUCGCUGCCAGGACAAGAAACCAGAGUUGGAUGGUCGAACGUCGUCCAUGAAAAGAGAAGUUGGGCGAAGAGUGAUGGGAGCGGGGAGAGGUGAUCGGAGAGAAGGGAAAAGGCGCCGGUGAAGAAAGCGAGGAGUUGCAGUGAGAGUGGGAAUAGAAGGAAGAGGAAUAAUAAAAAUUAAUUAAUAAAUGGAAUUGCGUAUAUCCUUCAAAACGUCGUCGCUUCUUUAGUGGGUAUGAAUGAAUUUAACGCCUUUGUUUGGAUGGUGGUUGUUUAUGUUCGGAUAAGGGAUAAUGGGGGUGGGGGGGAAUUUAAUUCAUUUUUGUUUAAUUAAUUUCAUUUCAUUAUAUCCUUUCUUAUAUAUAUAUAUAUACACAUAUAUUUACAUUAAAUUCAUCAUUAAUUCAUUAAGGAACUUCAUAAUUUAUUAAUCCACUUCGGUUUCAAUUUUGAUAUUCACAAUUAUCCAUUCAUCCAUUAAAUCCAUAUUAAAUAAUUAUAUGCAUACAUAUAUAGAUAUUAACAUUCAAUAUUUAAAUACUUGAAGUGAGUAUAAAGUAAAACAACAAUGUUAAAGAGUAUAUAUUUUGAAACUGAAGCAAUGCUUCAAUUUUUCAAGGAUAACAUUUUAAUACCUGUCAUGAAUUUGAAAUCAAACUUAAAAACAAUAUUAAAAUUAUAUUAUUUUAAAUGUUAAGAACCAAACAAAUAACUUUUUUUAAAAAAAUUAUAUAUGUUUGAAGCUCGCUGGAACAAAAAAGAAAAUAAACUAAAAUAAAAAAAAAUCAAUAUUAUCUUUCUAAAAAAACCACACUACAAUUAUCGAAAUAGUCAUAACUCAAUUAUAAACAAUAAUUAAAAUUUAUCAUGUUUUUAAUAAUUAAAAAUAAAUCAUAAUUUUCGUCAUGUUUUAUAAUAAUUAAAUAAUAAACAUAAACAAGAGACUUAGAAAACGAACUAAAAGUUAUUAUUUAUCAUAAUUAUUUAAUAAAUAAAUAAAUAGAAAAUAUAAAAAGAAUAGAAAAUAAAAGAAGUAUUAUAGAGUUGUUAAAGAGGUAGUUAGUAUAAUAAUUGAAUGAAAUUAAUAUGGAACGAACUUAUUAGAAAAUAAAGAAAAAUAAACAAUAAAGUCUAGAUUUGUAUGGUUGAAUUAGUUCACUAAUACUUGGAAAGAUAAUUGAGAGGAAUUAAAUAUAGAAGGAAUUUAUUAAAAACUAUAAGUGAUAAGAAAAAAGAAAUUAAAAAUAAAUAAAAAAAGGAUAAAAUUAGAAUAUGCAAUCUUCAAGUUAAAGGAAUCUGCUUCAAAUAUUUAUGGAUCACAAUGAUAUUCCUUUAAUUUGAAGGACUUUUAUUUUUUUUCAUUUAUAAUCCAACUUUAUCCAAUAAUACUAUACAUAUUAUUUCACAUUUAUCCCAUUCAUAUUUAAUGGUUUCACAAAAAUUCAAGGGACCAACGGUACUUUCAGCUUUUUCAACUUUCUAUAGGGCCAUUUCACUCAUUCACCACUUAGAUUUAUAAGUCUAAAUUAUUGAGUAGAUGGUUGAGAGUCUGUGAGAUCGAAUUUGGAGAAUAUUGUGUUUAGUAGUAUAUGAGAUGAUGAUGAAAUUACACUACCAAAAUUUGUCUUGUUUUAAUAAUAAAGUUAAGUUGUUUACACCGUGUCAGUAACUUAAGAAGUCGAUGUACUGAAUAAUCCUUAAAUGUGAAACAUAUAUAUUUGUUUCAACUUAAACUUCUAAAUUGUUCUAACUCUAUUAACCUUACAUCUUAAAUUAGUUAAAAAGAAAAAAGUUAUAUUUGAGAAAUGUUUUGAAUUUAAUUUUUACACACGUGUCAUAUUUUCAAAUGUAUAGUUUGAGUUUAUAAUUUUAGUCAUGGUACUGUUAAAAUUAUUAGUCACAUCAACAAGUCCUAAAUUUAAAAUUAUUCAUACAUUAUAUAUUAUUAUGGUUAAAAUUAAUAUUAUUGUUAUUAUUUAACCAAUUUUAAUUAAAUUUAUAAAGGCCUAAAAUUGAAUACAUCCACUGAAAUUGAACAAACUCGUAGAAAUAAUAUUUUAAUCUAGAUUUUAUUUAUAAAAAAAAAAACAAUUCUUUUAAAAUUUAAAUUAUCUAUUUGCCAACCAAAUUUACUUUCUUAAUUACUUAGGCUAGGCAUGUCACUUUUCAUACCAUAGUUUGUAUCAAAUUUAAGUAGUAGAGAUGAAUUCUAAAUAAAUUUCACAAACUAUUUUUUAAAAAAGAAAAAAAAAAAACUACUUUAUUUAACAUUGACUUGGUUUUUUAAAACAUCAAGAAAAUUUUCCCAUUAAAAGUUUUUAAAAAACGGUAAACAUAGAAACGAUGUUUAUAUUCUUAAUUUUUAAAAACUAAAAAAUCAAAUGAUUAUCAAAAGUGGCCUUAAUUCUUCGAUCUUGUUUAAACUUUACCGAAUUUUUCUGAUUCUAAUUAGUUUGGAGUUGUUAACCAAAUUAACUGUUGUUUGUCACUUUUCGAACGAAACAUGUGUUAAAAGUUAAAACACUUAAUCCAACUAUUGACUUUUUGGUAAAAAAAAAAAAAAACUUAUGAUGUUCAAAACUUAGACUAACACCAUUAUCACAAUCAUUAUUAAUGCCACAUAUAUGUUCAAUUUUAAUGUUAAUUCCACUUUGUUUUUCUUAUUACAAUUCUUCAAGUUUGACAUUGAUUAAGUGAAUGAUCUUAUGUAGUAUGUCAAGAUUUUAAUAUACUUGUAAGUUGAUAAUCAAUUACAUUGCAAUCAAUUAAUCAAUUGGUGUUAGUCAAUACUUUUUAGUGCUCUAUGUUGACUAAAGAAGUUAAAGAUUGAGAACCCAACAACUCUUUAUUUGGUAAAUAGAGGAAGUGCAUUAUUCCAUUCAAAUUUAGAUCAAACUAAUACUUGAAUUGAUAUCAUAGUCAAUAGUGGAAUGAUAAGAGAGGUUGAAGGGUUGGAUUGAGUUGGGUUUAACUACUUUUUAGAUUCAGUUUAAUUAUUUAAUAGGUAAAAAUUGUAUAUUUAAUUAUUGUUGUAUAAUGAUAAAUUAAGAUUAACAACUCAAUUAUCUCAAUUUUAGAUUAUGAAAACUUCUUUCUAAUGUUUAAAAUUGUUUUUAUGAGUUGUUGGCCGAUAAAUUAUCAAAAAAUAUUAUAAAAAUAAAGAAAAAUUGUAAAAAAUAGAACAUUUGACCAAAUAUUUACACUUCAUAGAAUGAACCAAGUGUAAUGAAUUUUAUCUUUUAGUGAUUUUGUUUAAUGGAGUAUAAGUUGUUUGUCAAUUUUUUUAUUUUUAAAAAAAAUCUAAAAUAAAACAAUAUAAAUAUAAAUAUAUGUAUAUAUAAUAAUAUUAUAAGUAGAAAAACCAUAUUUUUUUAAAUAAAGGUUAGUUCGGGUUGUUAUUUUUUGUGAACUCAUGAAGACAUGAAAUAACCCAAGUCAUAAGAUUUUAAUUUUUUUUUAACUUAACUCAACCUGUUGAUAAUGAUAACCCAACCCAAACCAUACGAGCUGGGUUGGCUUGGUCAGGUUUUUUAAGUCAUUGGAUUUUUUUAACACUCCUAAAAUUUAUAAUGAAUUCUUUUCCGAUCUCUUGAUUUUAGCUAGAUUUAAAUUGAUAAUUUUAAAUGUAAAUAAAUUUUAAGUUAAAUUACAAAUUUAGUCUUUAAGAGCUGUUUUGGCCUAUCGAGUAGAAUUAAUAAUUUUGAAAUUACUAUAUUGAAGUUAGUAAGUAGUGUUUGAAAUGUAAAGUUGUAAGGUUAAAUUUGAAAAAAAAAAAAGAAUAGACGAAGUUACUCGUAAAUAAUUUAUGAAAAAAUCGAGAUGGAGAGAAAAGUAUGGUUUCUAAAUGAAUAUGAAAAGUUAAAAAAAAAAAUGGGCAAAAGUUACUUGUAAAAUAGGUAAAGUUGAAUAGUGUUUUUACUAUUGUGUUGUUAAUAUCAACUUACCUUAAAAAGUAAGUUGGUGGGUCAAAUGAUCUUUAAAGGAACGUUUGAGAUGUAGAGUGGUUAUUAUACUAUGUGGUUUAUAAUAAACUGUGUUAUUAUAGUCUAUAUUUGGCGCACGAAGUAUAUAGUAUGUGUUUUUGGUGUAGAGUAUUAUAGUCUAUGUUUGGGCUACAAAUUAUUAUAGUCAAAAUUAUAGCCGUCUGUAAAAUAAAUAUCAGUUAUCUUAGAUUAAGUUUUCUUGUACUAUUAUUCUUGUCAUACAUUUAUUUAGGUACAUAGAAUAUUCUUUUUAGAAAACAUAGUUCAAAUUGUAUCUUCCACUAAUUUAUACAAGCAAAUUAUUACUACGGGGAUGCAUUUGUUAUAAAAUUUUAUAAUGUAACUUCUUUUUAUAAAAAUUGAUAUGUAAUUUUAUUAAAACUUGUUAAUUAUGUUGUUCAUUUAAUAAAUUAAUAUUACAUAUAUAAGUUGAUUUUUAUAAUUAUAACAAAAUAUUUAUGCACCGUGUAACAAAAUGAAAAAGCACAUUAAGCUGCCAUUUUUUAAAUAUUCCAAGUUUGCCCUCUAUUUUCAUCGUAUUUCUUCUCUUUUCUGCUAUUUUUCUUCUUCUUUCCAUUGUUUUUUUCUCUUGUUCUACAUUUUUUUUAAAAACAAAGUUUCAAAUAAUUAUUUGGUUGUUUAGAUCGUGGUUGUAAGUAUGCUUGUUGUAUGGCACCGCAAGAUUCAUUAGACCUGCAAAAGCUCCAUACGAAGCUUAAGUUUUUUUACGGGAAGAAGAGAAUGGAAAUUUAAGGUUGUGUGUCGACAACCAUGUCUUGAAACAAGCCCUGAGGAAAGGGCCAACUCUUGAGUUUGUGGAUGCUUACAAGCUCUUCGAUUGUAUCUGAAGUUUAGUUAACUCCGGCGAUGCCAUACGACAAGCAUACUUCGUAGGCGAUUUUGACUUGGGCAAACUACCAAGCACCCCACACACAAUACUUCUUCUCUAUGACACGCCUUGUGCCUUUUGGAACUAUCUCCCCCUAACUAUCUGAAGGCUCAGGUGGGAUGACCCCUGAACGUAAUUUCAUCUUGAGUGAGGCCCUCUUUCAGUUGCAUGGCUGAGAUCAUUCUCAAUCUCUUAGGUUGGCGAAGGUCUAUCUGAACAACGGUGGGGGCAGACCUAGUGAUCACUAAAUAGUUGGCUGAAGGCAUUAGGAUCACCUGAUGUUCAAGGAGGAAUUUCAUUUCGAGUACUACCUCAAAGUCAUCCAUACCUACAACCACGAAGUCUACAAGACCACUCCAUCCUCCCAAUUGUAUUAUCGUUCCUUUCACUAUUUCUACGACGAGUAAAACUGUAAAAUUUACGGCCUUCAUUUUUUCUAUAUCCUUCUUCCAAUGAAGCUUCUGCCACCCUUAUGAAAUUGUGGGUUGCACCAGAGUCAACCAUAGUGCUCAUUGCGUGCUUCUAGUUGACCCAGGUGUCAACAUAUAUUAGACCCCCUUUUGCACGUCUACUUGUCUCUCCCACUUUCUUUUGAAGAGGCAACAGGAAUCUCAUGACCCCCACUUUAGAAUUCUCAACUUAGUUUGCUUGAUUAACUUCCCUUUCUGAUUGACUCAACUUGUCAUCUAAGUCGGAGGAUAGAGAGGCCUGAAAGAUGUAAAAGACCGAUUUAUUCGGACAUUUCUUAGCUCGAUAUGCCUGAUUACAUAUGUACCAACUAAGAGGAUGAUUUGGUGUGUUUGGAUUAUUAUGUCCUCGCCAGGUGUUCCCCAUGUUGGAUUGGAAAGGCUACGGUCACCACCAGGACAUCUGUCUUCCCCGAUAGCUUUAAGAGAACUCAAUUAUUUCUUUUUCUUCCAAUGAAGAACUUUGGUGGCAUCUCAUAUCUUGAGAGUCAUUAAACAUAUCAAACAAACGUUCAGCUAUUCCAUAGGCUAACGUGAGGUCUUGAAUCUUCUACUCAUAUAGCUUAAUCCUUACCCACGACUUCAGCCUUCGAUAAAACAGAAGAUCUUGUCAUUUUUUGACAUGUCACAUAUGUCUAACAUUGGCCCGUGAAUUGUUUCACAUACUUUCGAAUGGUUUCAAUGUGUUUAUUCGCUCAAUUUUCACCGAACCAAAAUUUCGACAUUCUCGAGAAAAAACUACGAACAAAGUUCUUUCUUUAAACUGUCUCAUGUGUCUAUUGUGCAACAUCCUUCCUGAAUAUCAACAUACCAGGACUUCCACCAUAACUUCGCAUUUUCAGACAGAUGCAUAGUUGUCAAUGUCACUUUGACUUCUUCUGUAAUGGUAUUUGUGGCCUUGAAGUAUUGUUCCAUAUCAAAGAUGAAGUUUUCUAACGUCUUCGCAUCUUUUGCCCCACAGAAGGGCUCAGGGAUUUUUAUUCUGCUAAUUGAAAUUGUGAUUUGCUAUUGCUCAAUUUGUAAGGUUCACCUUCGUGUUCAUCUCUACGAUUUCGUUCCUCGCGACAUAUAGGGUAGCUCAAAAAUCUCCUGUCAUGCCGUUUAUCAUUUCCAACAUAUUCUUGUGGGAGUUAUCUAUCCUAAUAACUCGUUCUAUAUAGACAGCAGCAUGACGAACUAUUCCCACGCUUGUAGGUGACAUUUCCAGUUCUUACAAUUUGUGACUCUAUAGUGUCAACUCUUUCAAACUCAGAAUGGACGAUUGUGCGGUACUUGUUCAAACUCGAUGAACAAGUCAGCGGAUCAAAAUUCGAAAGUCAUGGUCAAUCUUAGGGUAUGAUGUAACCUUCCUUCACGUUCUUGAGAAAAUUAUUUAUAGAACAUGAGAAAGAAACAAAGAGUGAGACACUGAUCAAAAGAAAUUUAUAAAACUUCAACUUGUAAACAAUUAUUUCUACAAAAGGUCGGUAGUGAAAGUUGUAAGAUCGAGUGUUGAUCCACGCGGAAUCUAUGCAAAGUUUCUUAGAGUUGUAAAAUGCAAAAGUAAAACAAGAAUUACUUUUAUUUUUUGAUAUCAGAACACAGACGGUUAAAUAUUCUCUCAGUCAAAAGACCUUAUUAAACGAGUGAAGGAAUGAUUUUAUAGAUAAAAUAAGUUCUACAGUUUGAACCUUGUCACAACAUAUCAGAAAAUGCAAGUGCGAGUGUGUAGCAUUUGGGUACCGAAAGGUUGUUUGUCUUAAAUAAAGGUUGAAACAUAAUAAUGUCAUUUAUAUUUACUUAGAUAAAAAAUAUGUAUUCUAACCUCAACGUUUAUAUCACAAAAGGUGAAUAUAUGUACAACAAAAGUCUUGAGAGGUUGCUUGCCUUAAAUUGAAGUUAAAAUAUGAGAUAUGUAUCGAUUCAAAUAAACUGUGAACCUUUUCAGUUCGCAUCACUAUAUAUGUAUGUAUGUAUCCAAACUUUUAUGUUGCUUAAUUGUAUGUUUGUUCUAAGUUAAAAGUUAGGUUCAACACCAUUCACACUCAUCCACUUUCAUGUAAUCCAAAGCAUUCCACUCCUGAUGUCACUUAAAUCUAGAUCAAAUAUUUUAACCGAAUUAUACAUCAACAGCUGACUAGUCCUAGUCGAACUCAAGGAGCACGUAAAUUUCUAUAGCACAUUAGUUUCAACCCAAGGUAACAGAAGGAGGGGGUCAAUUGAAUAAUUAAAAAUAAAUUGUGAAAAAAUAAAUACUAUAAAAAUAAAUUAAAAGUGUAAAUCAAUUUGAGAAAACUUACCAUGGAUUUUAUCGAUCUCCCUCAUCAUUAUAUUUGAAUGUUGAAUUCUCAUUGUUGAAUUUAACAAUUGAUACUCCUAACCAAUUUGAAUAGAACAACUAACCAAAUUGUCCUAUGCAUCAAAUUAAUGCAAAUUAAAUCGAUGAAAUGUAUACAACGUCCAAUUUACAGUAAUUGCAUUACAAAUAAGGGCUAAGUUAGGUUGAAAACCUAAUUUUCAUGCGGCUAAUUAAACAUUCAUCAAGUUCAAUAUUGUAAGUCGAUUAGAAAAAUACAAGAUCUAAUAGAUUUUUUCAAGCUAACCUAACUUAUUUCUUCUAACUGAAUCACAUACAACUUACCAAAAAAAUUGCACAGGAUAAAAAGGCUUUCACCAUAAAGCGUUCGUUCAUCUGACAAUAUGAACAUGAUAAUUAAAGACAAAAUUUAAUCUAUUGGUGUAUUAAACUCAAUUCAAAUCUCACAAAUGUAUGGAUUAAAGGGAGAUACUACAAACUAAACCUAAGAAAAGAGUACCUAGUUAUUGGUUGAUUAUGGUAUGUUGAUCAAUUUGUUUGUAGAUCGUAAAUUUGUUGGAUAAUAUAAAACAUAAAGUAAAAAAAAAAAAAAUUCUAAACUCAUUUAACCUCUCAAUCUCUCUAAUCUCUUUCAAAAUCUCUCUCUCAAUCUCUCUUGUCAUUCCAUAGAAUAUUUAGCUACUCUUGAUCAAGUUAUCACGCUACACAAUAAGUUUAGUUUUUUGUUUUUUGUUAUUUUUUUCUCCAAAGUGUGUUAUAUAUAGGUUUUUCUUUUAUCCUCCUCUCUUGGUGGAAUAUUUAAAUCUUAAAUGUAUAAACCUAAUUAUCUAAUUUUUAAUUGUUCCAAGUUGAUUUAGAGUUGUUUCAAACUUAUGAACAAGUUUUUUCUUACUUUUUUUCAUCUGGAAAACAUCUCACAGGCAUGCAUCUCUCGCAACUUCUUAAGUUCAAAUGUUUAAUCUCAAAUGAAUUAUAUACUUGUGCUUAUGUCAUUUAGGAUGCUUUUAUACAUGUGUAGGAAAUUUUUAGUUACUGUUUAGAAAAUGUUUUUUGCUUGCAAACAUCUCGCAACCUCCAAACUUUAAAUCACUACUACAAAAGUAGCCCUUACUUAAAGUCUUUUACCUAUCAAGUAUUUGUUUACUUGAUGUUUUUAAAUGCAUCAAGUAAUCUAGUACAAGAAUAAGAGUCUUUUUCUUGAAAAAUUUUAAGCGUCAAGAUAAAAUAUGCUUGACACUAUAUGUCAAGAAUAUUUAAUUCUUGACACGUUUUUUUUGCAUGUUAAGUCUUUCCUUUUUCAAAUGAAAAAUUUACAAUUUAAAAUACUCAUAUAAUUACUGCACCUGUUUUGAAACCAUAUUAAUUAUUGAACAAUUGAAUCAGCCCAAAUUCUCCAUCAAAGAACUAACUUGUUUUGAAGUCCAUAUAAUUAUUGCACAUAUUUUUAAGUCCAUAUUAGUUGGUCAUUGUAUACUGUUCAAUAUACAUAAAGUUGGUCACUACGUACUUACAACAUCCCAAACUUCUACUAUAUGAAGAAAUUGUUCUACCUAGUUUUAUGUCUAAUCUGAACAAAAUAUAUCAAUCAAUGACUGUACACACCUAGGCUUAGAGUCUGAGUUUCUCGAUAAAAAAGUGGAUCUGUUGGGUGAAGUACCACUUUUUGGACGUAGUAAAAGACCUCAACAAUCUGCCAAUGAAAUAAUACAAUGUUGAGAACAUGUGGUUGUGUUGCCUUAAGAGUGAACUAAGCAAAAAUGAGACUACUCAACAAUGAACUUAAGUGAACCAAUAAACGAAAUUUGAUGUGUGAAACUAGAAAACAACCUAGAACAAUCUGAGUGAUAUUAAAUGAAAAUAAAUUAAAAAGACAAACUCUUCAUCCAUAAAUUUUGUUAAGGAUCCCGUACAUAUUUAAAAUAUCAACCAAAUCUCACAAAUUUUAUACUUCUCCUAUUACAAAAAGGAGAAGGGAAAUUUUAUUGUGGAAAAAAUUGACUUUUCAUAUCUUCAUUUUGUCCUAAAACUCGGUUUUUUUUUUACUCUAUGUUUUAUAGGGUUUGUUUUUUUUUUUCUUUUUUAAGUUAUAUUAAUUUAGGGAUGCUAAAUAAAAAUAUAUUUUGUUUUAUACUUGACAUUAAAAAAAUAUUAAUUAAAAGUGAAUAUUACUCUUGAUAUUUUUAAUGUGCAAGUAAAUAUUAACCACAAUUGAUAUUUAUGAAAUAUAAUGUAAUAAUUAACAUAAAAAAGUUUUAAAAUGUCCGUGAAAUCUCUACUUCUUUUAGUGAGUUUAGACAUUUUUUUCUUUAAAAUGUUAGUAAAAUAUGACCAUUUUUUCUUUAAAAUGUUAGUAAAAUAUGGCUUUGUACUUGGAAAAUUUAGAACGAAAUAUCACGAAAUUAGAAGUUUCAUAUUAUUUAAGCCAAAAUACGUACAAAUACAUGCAUGUGUAAAACUGAGUUUAAAAAAUCAACCAAUAGUAAAACUUUCCAAACUAAACUUUGACAUUUAAUUCAUAAAGUUGUUAAAAUCAUUACUAUUUAUUCUAAAUGAAAACAAAUUCGUGCAUGGUGUGUAGUUUAUAGAAAUCUUUACUAUUUUUACAUAUUAAUGCAUGGAUGAGAUUUAAUGUAGCUUUUACAACCUUAUUGAAUAGGAUCUGUUCUAUAGGUUGUAUAUUGUGUCCUUGAGAUUCAAGGGAUUUAAUGUAACUUUUAGUAUUUAAACCAUUGAAAAUCGUAGAAUUUCUAUCAUCCUAACUCUUAACAAAACAGUAGUUCGGAAAUUUGUAUAUCUUAAGAAUAUGGCUUCUUCCCGUAUCAUCUACUUCGCUCUUAUUUUUUCAGGUUCUUUUUCUUUAAUUUCCUCCACAAAUACUAUAUUAUCAUGCGUUGCAAAAUCAAAUAACCAUUACAACACAUAUUAGAUUGCUAAUUUGUCUACCUAUAUAUUUAUCUUUUUAUUUCUUUUAUAUAGUUGCAUUGAUGUUUGUGCCUCAAGACGUCUCAGCUGCCCAAAGAUGUCAAGACAUUUUAUAUAACACUGGGUGCGAUCUCAAUGACUGUGGAAAGAAAUGUUGGGAGAAGCAUCAUACUGUUUCACAUCAAUGCAUUCCAACUAAUCCUUCUCAAACCAUCUAUGCUUGUUAUUGUUUCUUUGAUUGCGGUGGUCAAAAGAAUCGAUCUGCAUACUCGCAUCUUCCUUAUUUAAUGUAAUGUACUUAAUCACUUAAAUUUCUAAAUAACAUCACACAUCUUUUCUAAUCUUUGACUGCGUUACAACAAUUUGAUGUCUUGAAUACAAGAUUCCAUGAGCUAAAUUCUUUGAAGUGGACUAUUUGGGCAAUAUCCAAUAUCCAAACAAAUACCCAUAUUCUUAGUUAUUUAAAAUAGUAAUCAUAACCUCAACUAAACCUAAACAUUGCUCUAUACAAAAAGUUGAUUAUUAUAAGAAAAAUUGCAAUUGAUAACCAUUUCAACAAUAAUAAUUAAGGAUAUAGUAAAAAAAAAUUUAAAAAAUUGUAAAUAUAGCAAAACUAUCACUGAUAGACUUGUAUCGAUAGACUCUGUAUGGUCUAUCAGUAAUAGACUAAUAUUUGCAACAUGGUUUAUCGGUGAUAGACUUAUAUGAUUGAUAGAAUUUAAUAAAUUUUGCUAUAUUUGCAAAUUUUUUAAAAUGUUGUUAUAUAUUUAAUUAUUUUGAAUUUAAUUGUUAAUUUUGCAAUUAUCCCUUAUUAUAAUCCACUCCCACUCUACUCCACUCCUAGCCCCAAACAUGUACUAAAUGUCUAAAAAGUAUUUAUAGUAAAUAAUAUUUUUAGGAAUAAUAACUAAGUAUAUAGAAAAAUUCGUGAAAGAAUUUGUAAUUUUUUUUCAAAGAUUUAUUUUAUUGCUAUUUACUAUUUAUUUUUAAAGUUUAUUAUGAAUGAGGAGUAGGGAUUUUGUUCUUAUGGGACAAACUAAUCAAGAUUGGACUAAUAUAUCAACAUCAUAGCUUAAUUGAUAUAAGACCACAUGUAAGUUUCAAGAAUCCAAACUUAUUGAAAACAACAACUUAAUUGCUUUCUUCUUCUUUUUUAAAAAAAUUCUAUAAUCUUUUCUAUAUUGAGCAAAGAAUCCUCAAUAAUAUUCUUUUUACCCAUUUCAGUUUAUUUGAAUAAACAAAUUCAUUGAUGAAAUAUCAAAGCAUAAAUAUUAUUGUUAUUUAUUUACUCCAAUAUAAAUACAAAUUCUCAUAACGUUCCUUAGUUUUGGAUUAUAAAACUUAAUUAUUAUUCAAUAUAACUUGUACAUAUUUCAUAUAUAUUAGGACAAAGAGAUGCAUGCUUAUAGAAAUAUGUUUUAAGAACAUUUGUAUUCCAAACAUGACAUCGUUUACAUUUUUACUCUCAAAUCUUAAUUUUACCUUCGCAUAGACUUUCAUUCAAAAUCAUCAACAAAAAAAAAAAAAAAAGAAGUCCAUAUUCAUUGAAUAAUUAUAAUAGCAACGGUGCCUAAAGUAUUACCAAAUAUAACAUAAUUUAUAGUAAGGGUUUAUCCAUUGUGGAUUUUAUUACUAGUAAAAGUCUAUGAACAAUAAAAUCUAUCACUGAUAGUUUAAGGAGGUUAGAAUGUCAUAUGAAUUAGAGUGUUGAAAGGAGUGAGGAAUCAAUGACAAAAUAAAAAUAAAAUAGUGAAGUGUAAAAAUAAUGGUAAAAGAGUUUGAGUUGAAAACCAACGAUGGAAACGAAAUAAGUUCAAAAUUACAAAUUCGUCAAAAAAAACUCAAUCCAAGCAUCUCAAGGUUUAGAUAAUAAUACCAUUAAAAUACAAGCUCAUUCCAUCAUGAACCCUAAACAACCCUUAUACUGGAUGUAAUUAUCCACUUUAAAACAUAUGUUUAGAAUUAGUGAGUGAAUAUAAAGUAGAAAUUGAAGGUUAGGUUGAAAUGACCAUUAAGGCUUAAGAGGAGAUUAUAACACAACUAUCAUAAAACAAACAUAUAGUACUUAUUGAAAAGAAAAUAGAACUUGAAUUACCUUAUACAUCAGGAGAUAGUCAAAAUAUGUAUAUUAUUUUAUCACUUUGAACUCUCAUGUAUGCAUAAUGAUAUUUUUGAGUUGAAAACCAAUGACAGGCUGGGACAAAAGAACAACUAGCACCAUCCGUCUUAAUCUGCUAUUUUUGAGUUUCACAACUUCCCCCACAAUAAUUUAUGCUUCAAAACCUACCUGAUAGACUACAGUAAUAUUUUCACAGGAUGACAAGUUGAAAACCAAAUUAAGGGUUAAUUUUAAGAUAAAUGUUUAAACUAGCGUUUUUUCAGAAAAGCACAUUUUUUCCCUAUAAAUACUUUUGGAAAGAAGCAAGAGAAAAAAAAACAAAUUUAGCUUAGCUCAACUAGUCAACACAUUUGACCAAGAUAAUGAAGGUUCAAAUCAUCCAUGUAUCUUCUGUUGUUGUUAAAACAAUGAGUAGUUCUAAUGGGUUAAAGGUUACACUAAACUCUGAACCCUAUCCAUCUAUUGAGGGGUUCACUCAAACGCAUUGAAAGUACAAAGCUUAUCUACAGUAUAGCUGCAACUGAGGUCUAAAUCCUAAAAAACAAGAUAUUCGAAAGCGUUUUGCUAUCAUGAGUGCCAUACUUCCUACAAAGCAUCUAAUGCAGAUACUUCCUGUCCCUACAUACUAUUCUAAGAGUGCAGAGAAUAGAAUCCACUCACUAGACAAUCUGCAUUAAAAGCCAGAACUCUUACCUUUCAUCUUUAUUCAACCACAGUCAGUACAAAUUGAGACAGACGUCAAGCUCAAACUCCUCCCUGGGGGGGAUUCAUCUCGACGUGCAAUUUCAUCUUAGUCUAAGUUUCUAAGACAAUGCCUUUGUGCAAGGGUUUUUUUAGCAAGAUUACCAAUAAAAAUCUAAAUCAAGUAUUCAAGCUUGUUGAACUGUACAGUCAUCUUUCAACUCACAAUUUAGUCGUUCAAAACUAAGAAGAAUUUGCACAUUUCAUUACUCACUGGAUCCUUUCAGGUAUAUUAAGAAGCAAGUACAUUUCCUUGAAAGUAUAAAGAAAUAAGACAGUAAAUUGGAAGCGAUAAGGAGAAAUGGCACCUCUAGAACUGAAAACUGCAAGAAUUGAAUUCAAGGAGCUCAAGAUUAUCAAACGUUCUUCAACUUCUUCAUCUUUGAUGGAGGCCAUCGUCCCUUCUUCCUCAAAUGGCGUUUCUGAACAAGCCGCUUCCUCCGCAGCCUAAUCUUUUUUGCUAACUUCAUUCUUGCCUUCUGUUCCAGCCUCUCCUGUAACUUUGAUUCUAAUGGAAGUUUAUCAACUGGAACAUCCUCCUUUUUAGCUUCUGCAGCGGGCUGCACGUCACUACUGUCAGUUUCUCCCGUAGCAUCAGUCUCAGAUGCAGCUUUGACAACUAACGACGCUGUAUUUUCAACAAAAGAGUGGUUUCGUAGCCGGACUCCAUUAAAGUGUUUUGGCUGAAACCCAAUAGGCUUCAUGAGCAACAUAGAACCUGAAAUGGAAACCACAAUAAAGGAAUAGAAAUUAGACUGGGAUUCAUAAAGUGCAAGGAAAUAAUCAUUCCAAUGAAAGCCAAGAAUAUGUAUUAUUUUGGUCUCUAAGCUUAUCGAAUUGUGUCUAAGAGAUCCCUUAAUUUAAAAGAGUGUUUAAUAGAUUGUAAACCUGAUACAUGAGAUCUCUAUACAAAUUCAGAGCCAAAUAAAGACAGUUAAAAGUUUAAUACUAAUAUUUUAAAGACCUACUAGAUAUUGUUUAAAACUUAGAAAUCUACGGUAAACAAUAUUAAAAGUUUAGAGACGUAUUAAACACUUAAUAGACCAUUAGUUAGUAAAAAAACUUCAAAAGUUUCGCCAAGAAGCUUGUAAUACUUUCUUUUAUCAAUAUAAACCAAGUUUAAAUAGCUUGUUUAGUUGUAAUGUAACCAAAGAAUAAAUAGACUGUAAUCUAUUUAAAAGGCUUUUGAUUGAGUUCGUUUUUUAAUAUGUAAUCUAUCACAGCGUGGGGGGCUAGGGAUCCUGAUAAUGUUAAUUUCUCCUAUUUGAUAUUAUAUGAAUCAAAUUAAUAUUCAUGAAAUUCACUCAAAGCAAUCUCUCUUCAAAGAAAUUCAACCGUAUUUCAAGACAAGGAAACUUGUAAAGUAUAUGUGAAAUUGAGGACAAUCAACAAGAAAGAGAGCAAUCAGCCUAUAAAACACAAGAUACAGAACAAAAACACAUUCAGGCAAGCGAGAGCGAGAUCUAGUGCACAUCAAAAGAGAAGCUUAAAAAAUCGAGUCCAACUGUUUGACAAAAUGCCUGACGGACAAAUGAGUGGAAGCAAGAAAAUUGUCUGAAGCACCACAUAGUUUUCCGAGUUGGAGAAAAAAGGAAUUACCCAUUUGAAUAAAUCGUACAACAAACAAUGAAGUAGAAAGAGAAAUGUAGAUAGGAAUAAGAAUUAGACAAAAAAGUUCAUUCGAUCCCGUCGAGCAGAGGAAGGGAAAGGAAAGUUGAGGAAGAGAGACAUACUAGGGAUGGCAGAAGUCGGAGGAAAACAUGACGGCGACGGGGACGUAGAGAAAUGGAAAGAGGUGGAGAGGGGAUUGGAGCUGAGGAGAAAGGAAGCCAUGGUGUGAACUGGGAGCCCCUCGCUUACCUUCGGAUAAGCUUUUGUAUAACAUUUUGAAUAUACAUUCAGAAUUUAAUUUUACUUUAUUUCUUGUCCAAAAACACAUUUUUAUCCCUAAAUUUAGUGAAUAAGGUAAAAAUAUUUAGGAGUAAAUUUCAAAUUGACUGCCCACUCAAAUUUCAAUUUUUUGUCUAAUCAAUCAUUCAAUUUAAUGAACCAAUAAAUCUCUAAAUUUAUACUUUCUUUUCAUUGGGAUAAUAAUAAUAUAUGAAGAUUAAACACUCAAGUUUAAAAGUCUGUAUAAAUUGUUUAUGUUUAGAGACGUUAUAGCCUUGUAUGAAGCAUGUAGUGGAGUGGUCUAAUAGCCACCCCUUAUAUGCGACAAGGUUUAAUUUUAGUCUAAUUAUGAUUAGAAUUUCAAAUAAGUCAUUUUACUAUUUUUCAAUCUAGGUGGAUUUUUAUUUGUUUCAAGAAUCGUUCAAUUCGUCGAUCAACUUUCUUAUUUUUGAUGACUGUCGUUGUCCAAUCUCUAACUAACUCUUAUGGUGACUCAACCUGAGGUACUUUCGACCACAACUAGCCUCCAAUCACCCUUGUUUACUAACUGUUCUAAUAUAUAUACAAGAAGAGUUGAAAUGGUAAAUUAGGCAACAUUUUAGUGUAAAAUAAUAGUCCAUUAGAUUGCAACUAAUUGUGUAAGUAAAUUAGGCAAACUUUCUAAUUUUUUAUUCUUAGAAAAAGAAUAUAAUUUUCCAAUAAUUGAAUUUAAGAUUAAAAAUGCUAGUUUAUUUCAAUUUGAACAUAGUAGAAUUAAAAAAGAAAACUCCUAUAUUUUUUAAAUUAAUCAAGGUGACAAAAGUUAAUGAAAUUUUAUUUCAAAAUCUAAUAAAAAAUUAAAAUAUAGUAUUUACAACUUUUAAAAAAAAAAUGUAAAUAUCAUUGCAAUUUUUAUCUCUAAUAACAAAACAAACAAAAUAUUAUUUUGUCCAUAAAUUCAAGAUUUGUGCGGGUUAGUUUUGAAUUCAAGGUUGAACUCUCUCUUCAUAUUCUCACAACAAUAUUGGUACAUGAUCGUUUCAUUUAGAUUCAGUACAUAUAUGAAAUCAUUACUAAGUUAAAUUAUUUGUAAAUAUUUUUACGAUUUGUUCUAUUUUAAAAAAACUCGAAAAUGUAUUAUUUGAAAAAAUUUAAAGACAUUCUUCAAAUUAAUUUAUUCCAAAUGUACUAUUUUGAAACACAAUUCAAAAAAUAACAAGUAAAAGAAAGUAUCUUAUUUUUUAAAAAAGAAAAUAGAAAAGGAAAGUAGAUGGAUAUGCUUUAUUUUUUUAUUAUUAGAAAUAGAUAUCGUUACAUUUUUACCUUUUCCAUUAUUAGAAGUUGAAUUUCAAAAAAGGAAAAUAACAAAAAUCAAAUAUAAUUUUACCUUUUCCUUUAAGGAUAUGAAUUUAUGUUUGAAUACUUUUAGUUAUAUGCAUUAUGUAAACCUCAUCACACACUCCAUAUCUUCUUCUUUCUACUCUUUAAUAAAAUCUCUUCUCCACUAGAGCUUUAGGAAACAUCUCUCACCUCAAAUGUAACUUUUCUUUCUCUAAAACCUUUAACUUUUCUUAUUUUUGCACAAAUUAAUUGUUGUUCUUAUUAUAUAGUUUUUAUUAAAGUAUGUCUAACAUGUUUUUCUUUCAUUCAUUAUGUUUAGUUUAGUUCCAAUGUAAUUAACUAGUGGUUAAUUAAUUCUUCCAUAAUACCAUUUGUUUAUUUGAAUUGUGCUUUACGUGAAUUUUGUUUUCUAAUUCUUACCUGCUGCCAUUCUUAAAUAAUCAAAUAAAUCUUAACAGAGUUUGUUCUUUCAAAAUCUUAACAGAAAGUAGUUUAGUUCUAUUUUACUUGAAGUUGUUAAUUUUGUAUAUUAUAUUUUCCUAUUAAAGUGUAUUGUUGAUGCAGUCAUCGUUUCAAUUCAAAUUUCUAGUUGAAGCUUUGUUUGACACCUUCAAUGGAAUAUCAAAUCUCUCGAUACUCAACUACGGCAGUGGAAGUAGAUAUAGAUGUUCCGAAGUGGACAAAAAUCCCGAAGCAUCCAUCACCAAUCGAACUAAUUGGCUUGCUCUUCACCCUACGUCGUCGUUGCAACCGCUUUCAGGUGCUGGAGAACGGUGAACGACAAUUAGUAGAGGAACAAGAGAUAUCAAAAGUUCCUCUAUGCGACCACCAAUUCCCUGUUGAAAUAUUUAAUGGAGACAGCAGUUCUCUAUUCCAAUACCUCUGUUGUAGCUUCGAAAACUACGAAUCUAAAAUUGAUGCAGAGGUGGUAGCAAGUGUCCUAAUCGAGCAGUGGAUUGAAAUAAGGAACCAAGUGAAUUCGAGAAGCCGAGAUAAAGUAUUUUCAAUGACGGUGAAUUUGACAAUCACAGAUGUUGUGCUUCAAUAUGUUGUUGGCGAAGACGGCAGCACAUUUGGUGGAGAAGAUCAUAGAGUGGUUCCAGCAUGCGACAAAGCUCUUAAGAAGAUGUUGAAGAGAUUGGAAAUGAGAGAGGAAGAUGAAAGAGUUUGUGUGAUAUGUUUGGAUGAAGUUGGGAAAAAGAAGAAUGGAAGGAUUGGUUUGGAAAUGCCUUGUUUACAUGUGUUUCAUGGGAAAUGCAUUGAAAAUUGGUUCAAAAAUAGCCAUUGUUGUCCAAUUUGUAGAUUUGAAAUGCCAAUCAGUUCAGACUUAGAUGAAGAUUCUUGAGAAUUUUAGUGAAAGAACAGAUAUAAUCUUGUUUUUCUGAAAUUCUUUUGUUAUUUUUUCCCCUCAUUUAUUAAAUUAGGAUUUUUGUUUCCUUCCCUUCACCCACUCCAAUUUAUAUAUAUCUGUGUUGAACAUUAAUUAUAUAUUUAAAAAAAAAACUUAAUUUCUCACUCUACUGCUAAUCGACUAAUUGUAACACUAUAUUCUAAAAAAGCAGAAUUAAUCCUUAAAGUAAUUACAUAAAAGUUAAUUUCUUUUUAAGGAAAACAAUACAAGGAAUGGUACUUCUCUCCUAAAAUUUUCAUUUUGAAUAAUCUUCAAAGCCAUUCUCAACCAAUAAACUGAUCCUCAAUGCAUGGUAGUGUUUGUCUUUCCCAUUCAAAGAAUGAGAAGUUGUGUUAGUGUACAUCAUCCAAAUGAACUCCAUAAACAUUCGCCUUGAACUCAAAAGUUCUUCAAGACCGAGAACUUCGGUAUCUCGAAUCAAAGAAAGCUAAUCAAAGUCCAAUGAGAUAAAAUUUGACCAUUACCUAAUAGUAAUGUGCAUCUAACAAUAUUCUCAAUCAUUGAAAAGCACAAGGCUCCAUUUUCCAACCAAUCUCUUCUAAAAGAUCUUUACUUGAAGAGGUCUGGAUUCAACCAAUCCCUGCAAAAUUUUGAAGUUUAAAACAAAGCUUUAACUUUUAAAUUCAUUCAUGAUUGAAAAAGGGAAGGGGGAUUGUGUGUUGUACUUGCUAAUGUCGUCAAGGUGAUCAUCGAAGUCCACCACAUCUUGCCAUUUUUCAGAUGAUAUGAAAUCCAACAGGACCACGUUUGCUGAAGGUUCCUUCAUCAUCAGCUGGCUGCUUCCAUCUGAUCCAGCCAACUUCCAGUUCUUGGAAGUUUCCUUUGUGUAUAGCUGGUAGGAGACAAAACGAACAAAAUGAAUGAGAAGAGCAUUAAUGCGACCAUCUCCUCAUGCUUAGUCUCUACCAUAUUUCAAGAUGAAACUAACAACGUAGACAAGGCCUAUAGUUUACAAGUAUUCCUAGAUUAGAAGACAUCCGGUUCAGUCAGGAUGCAUAAGUUGAAUGCAGCACAAACAGCUAUGAUAAUCAGAUAGUGUUAAUUGUAAACUGGAGUUAUUCAUAAAAUGCAAUCACAUCUUGAUUAAACUAAACGAUUCCAAAGAAACCUUAUACAGGUCAUCUCGGAAUCAAUUUGAAUAUUAGAAAGAGUAAAAUAGCUAUGCUAAGGUGAUAAAAGGCAAUUGGAACGAGAAGCAAUCGGAAUCUAGAAAUGCUAGCUCGCAGAAGACUCCCAAUCUUAAAGUGAACUUCCAACGACACCAACCCCCAGUAACACUCACUCAUAGGAUUUUAAAUCAGGCCACCAUGAACUAAAUCCAAUCACUCUAAAGAUGAAGGUCUGCUUGACGUCGCAAUAGAUAGGGACUAGGGACUUACAAUUUUUUGUUUAAUUUGUUCAUAAUUUAUGCUUCUUUUGGGGUAGGACAAUUAUGGGCUAAUGGGUGGGUUGCAAUAUUUAAAGGGAAAAAAAGAAUCUAGCUUGUCCCCUUCAAGUAUCUGGGAGAGGACAUGCUAGCCAAAAAAACAAUUUAUAUGGGAUACCUGAAUUCACAUAUUAGCCACAUAUCCAAAGCAUACCUGAACAAACCAACAUCCAAUACAGAUUCUUUUUCUCAAACGAAGUAUCAUAGAUUCUAUAUAAUAGUGUAGGAAUCCAUUUGGAAACAAAUCUGAUACCCAUGAUUCUCCCUUCCGACCCAAAUUCUUUCACCAGAUGACCACUCUGCUACAUUUAAGUACCAAAGAGAAAUUCAAAGAAUUCUAAUGAAGAUGGCCGAUCGCCAUAACUUAAACUUGUCCUCUCUUUGGCCCUUAGUCACUAGUCCAACCCAAGGUAGCUGGUAAAACAAGAAACUCCAACAGGAUAAAACCCAUUUUUUCCUUUUUAGGAAAAUGCAGAAGGGAAUGAUCAAAUAAGGUUGAUUCACGAAAUCCAAAAUUACUUGCGAAGUUAAAUGAAUAAAAGGAGAAUAUAAACAUCCAGGUCUAUCCCACUCCACAAUAUAGAUGGUAUGCAUUCCUCCAACACCCAAUCUCUCAAUCUUUGUUUGUACACUGAACUUCGAACAAUUAAAUUUGUCUUGCACCAAAAACCCUAACAAGAUUUACAAUAGAAAAAACAUAUAGCUUCAAGCCACCACUUUUGGAUAGCUGGGUUGAAUUUUGAAAGUCCAUAGAAGACCCCAAAAGGAAAGAGAUAAAGAAAUCCACUUCAUUGCCUCCCCACCACGGAGAAUCCACCUAAAACAUAAGCCCUCUCCGUGGUGGGGGAAAACUAAAUGAAGGAGUGGAAUGACUCUCCACCUAUAGGGUAAAAAAGAUUCUAUUGAAGUUUCUCCUAGACCCAUCCACAGAUUCCAUGCUGAGCAUCUGAUGAAAUCCUACAAUACAAUAACGCCGGAGCAGCUCCGACCAAAAUUAGAGAUCACACUCCCAUUGCCUCUCUCAAACUUUCACAUCCUAAAAGAAACCCCACAAGCUGUACCCAAAUCCAAUGCAGAAUCAGUACAAGCCAACAAAAUUUAGAGAACAUUGAAACAGAUUCAGAAAACCAAAUAAAUUUGAAGAUCUAGUUACUACUUACUACCACUGGCUCUAUUCUAUGAUAACGAGUAAGAAAGUCAGUAAAAAUCUCCAGCAUACUUUUUCCUAUAUUGCAAUUGCAAAGAGCAUCAGCAAUAAUAAAUGAUAUUGCCAUAACAUUCAACUCUCCAUGAAUGGAAGAGAAGCAAGAAAUUGUCUAAAGAAGACGAUACUAUAAAGCAUUCUCGUGACCUUUUAGUUUAAGGUCAAAUCCAGCAUUUGGGAAACCUAAAAAGAAUAUCCCCUCAAUUGUCGGAUGAAUUAUGAAUUCACAAUGUUACAAAGCUACUUUACGAUGUUCCACAGUCCUUGAAUACCAACAAUAUUCAAAUUCGGCAUGUUCAUGAGAUAAAAUUUUGCUCCUUCAAAUGAUUUUCAACCAAAAGUACAAGAGAAAAUAUGGUGGAAAUUCAUUGAGGCAAUUCUAAUGUAGCGUUCAAAUAAAUUUACAAAACCAUGAUAAGAAUUCUAUAGCGAUAAACUCACCUCCAUUACAGGGCUUCUAUCCUUUCUCUUCGGCAAAGCUUCAAGUUUCCUGUGAUCUAACUGCAGAGGAGCAUAAGUCAAACAAAACGAAAUAUACAAAACAAAACAGCACAGAUGAAGCACAAUAGGACAAUUCUUACCAAAAGAAGAGCAGCAUGUGGAAAAAAUCGAGAAAUAUGAUCACCAAUAUUCUUGGCUACACCGCCGACCUCAUAGUCAUCAAAUCGCUCAUUGGCAUGAAAGUACCCCACAAUAUUCAAUCCCUUAGCCGCAUAGUAUUCUUCAAUCUGAUAGCAAAUCAAGCAUGUCCACGACCUCAUCAAUCACAGAUCUCAAAUAGGAAGUGAAAAGGAGUAAACAUGGCAUCAAACACAACAAAUUCGCACACGAGCAACCAGUUUGCAUAAACCUAAACAUGAAAUACCGAUGUAAAAUGGUUCAAAGGAGUACCAGAAGGAGAGAUAUCUCGAGCUGAGGAAGGAGACCGAUGCUGGAGUGGAAGAGAGGGACGGAAUCGGAAAUUUCAAUGACGUCAUUGGGACCGGAGAUGCGACCUAGAAGGACUCCAUUGACGGCGGUGGUCCGGUGCUUUAGGGCAUGGAGAACAAGUUUGAUGUAAGCAUUUUGAGAGAUCUCGAAGCGUAGAUCGCCGCCCAUGAGUCGGAAAUUGGGAAAUCUCCCGUUAAGUGUGCCGGAAGAGACGGUUGAGAGAGGAGGCGGAGUUUACAGCCAAAGUGAAGCCGUAUGGCUAAGUAUGGCUAAUUAGUAGAGAAGUGAGAAGAAAUGACAAAAUAAAUAAAUAAAUAAUGGGUUAAUUUUAUAAUUUUCUUUUUAAAAAAUACAUUUUGAAAUUUUAUUAAUAAAGAAAAAUACAUUUGAUAUAAAGUUUUAACAAAUGUUAUACUUACUACAUUUAGGUUGAGUACCAAAAAAUGAUACAUACGAUAUGACCAUUCGAGUCAUCAUUUUGAGAAGAAAUAUUAGAGGACAUAAAACCAAAGAAAAAAAUGUUAUCAAAAUUAUCAUCACAACAAGCAAAGAAUCUCUACAUAAAUUAUAGAUCUAAGCCCAACCAAUUCACUUUUGUUUUCUUAAGAAAAAUUUACUCACCCUGAUGCUUGGGUAUUAAGAGUAAUUGUCUUUUAGAAUAUAACAAAUCACCUUUCUUCUAAGUGUAGCACCAUGCAUAAAAGAUCAACGAACGAAAUCUCGUGGAUCUACCGAACAUCAUGCAUGAGAAUAAGUAGUAUAGACUUUGAAUUUUCCAUUGAGCGACUGCAUGGUGUCAUAGACAUAUUUUUCCAAAUUAUGUUUACCUUUGGUUAUAUACUUCGAUUACCCCCAAUUUAUCUCAUCUUUAGUUUGCAUAACUAGUUUAGGUGUUUGCGUGUUUGCUUUUCAUUCUAGGUCAUAAAGCUUGGGUGUGACGUUUCGGCAUUUUCAGGCUUGAAAAUGUACUAUAGGGGGAGGCAUACUUGGGUGUGACGUUUCGGCAUUUUCAGGCUUGAAAAUGUUCAAAAUGUACUAUAGGGGGGGCCCAAGCCUUGUUGGUGUAUUGCAUACCUGUUGAAUCCCCGCCCAAGCCUUGUUCACACAGUUGCAUAACUAUUUGGUGUAUUGCAUACCUGUUGAAUCCCCGCCCAAGCCUUUGUUCACAUAGUUGCCAAAGCCCACCCACCCAUUUGGCCAAGUGGAUGGAAAGCACACAUGGUGACAAGGUCAUACUAUCAUCAUCAACAUAAUAUAUAAUCUCUUAGUAGUACUUAGCUAUUUAUGCCCAUUUGCUUCUUCCAAUUUUAUCAAUGUGGGACAACAAGAGAGGUAAAUUUGCAUUGGGCAAAAGGUCCACAGUCUUUUCCAACAUAUGAAACUUGAGCGUUGCACAAGGAGGGAGAGAAUACCUUUGAACUUCAAUGGAUAGACAAAAAGACAUUGAACUAGAAGAACGAUGAGGGAGUUAACUCAAAAAACAGUGGAAGCAACCAUUUCUUUUCUACAAUUAGUGAUGGUAAAUCAUUAAUGAAGUAAAGAGAGAUUGAUAUCCAAUAACUUGUUACAGUGGAAAAGUCCAAAUAAACAAAAGAUAGUGAAGUUCCUUUAGAGGUGCAAAAGUGGUUUGAUGAAUUACCACAACUUAGAGAAAAAUCCAAGGGGUUACCACCCUUGAGAGAUAUUCAACAUCAUAUGUCAACUUGGUUUGAGGUGCUACAAUCCCUAGUCUUCCUCACUAUAGGACAAAUCUAAAGAAGUAUGAGAUCCACCACAACCAUAUUGAAGAAUUAUUAAGGAAAAGAAGCACAUUCAAUCAAGCCUUAGCUUAUGUUGGAGGAUGUCCAUUGAUAAUAGAGUAAUCAAUUAGAUCGCAACGGAGUAUAACUUCUCAAUUCCACGAAUAAGUGACUUGAUCAAUUUGAAGGAGCCUUGAUUUUUUUUAAAGUGGACCUCAAGGGUGAAUACCACCCUACUUGAAUAAGGUCGAGGGGUGAGUGGAAGAAUGCAUUUGCAAACCAAUGGCCAAACCAAAUUACCGCAUCAAGUUGGCUUGUGACAUAUAUACUAGUUUUGUUCUGGAUGUUGCUAAUUUGAAGGCUUAUUCAACUUUCACUUAGCUACUUAACUCACUCGUGGAGGAGUUGAUUUUAGGAGGGGUGGAUUUGGUAAAGCCAAAAGGCUCUUUUCUUAAAUAUGCUUCUUUUAAUUAGCUACCAUUUUGUAACUACCACUUGACAACUAAUUCUCACUAUAAAAAAAAACAUUUGAUAAACCUCCAAUUAUAUUUCAAUAUUAUUGUAAGGGUAAAAAGGGGAAUGUCUGUAUAUAUGGAAAAGGUGAGUCAUGUAAUAGUAGUAUGGAUAAGGAUACCUAGUGGUUAGGAGGAGUUAGGAGGUCUUGGAAGUUAUCUACAAUUAUUUGAGUGGUUAUUUAGUACAAGUUAUAUACAUGUGUAAUAAUUGUAGUGUAAGGGGUGGUUCUGAAUGUGUUUGGUUCUUUAUCAGAGUGGCAGUAAGGAUAUGUGAUCUAUUUACAUGUUAGUAAUUCUUAAAUAAAAGCUUAUCUUUUAGUUCCUAUCACCAUCCCUCCCUCAUUUUGAGAAGAGUUUUCAUUUGAACAAAUUCCUAGAUUUUUGGUAUUACACUACAUAGAUUGAAGUUGAUUAUGGAGAUGGAUAAUGAAUAUACAAAUAUAUACCCAUUGAUCAAACCAAUUUUUUCAAACUUGUCUUUUUGAAAGGUCUGAUUGUGUUUAUAUGAUUUAUAUGUUUUAUCAAACUAUAACAAUUGAAUUCUAACUUGUAAAAUGAUAAAGACUAAAAUAUAAUUUUCUCUUGACCAUGGAUAUCAAAUUUACUACUUAACCAUACUUUUCUUCUAUACUCCAUUGCAUUUUUCCCAUCACAACCACUCAAAUUUGAUUUUUCUUUCAUUGAGAUCAAAUUUCCAACUUUGAGAAAGAUAGAUUAUAUUAUUAAUUACCUAUAGCUAAGCAAAAAUAAUAUUUACACUUCUUUUUCUACACCAAGAACCACACAUAUAAUUGAACCAAACAAAACAACAAGAAACCAUACAAAGAAUUGAACCAAACAAAACAACCAUCUAGAGGCCGAGGGUAGAAGAAACCCCAUCCAAAGACAACUAUUACAACAUCUCUGGUUUGAUAAUAAAUAAAAAUAAUAUAUGUAUAUAUAUAUGUAAUUCUAUACAUACAUAUAUAUAAAAGCACUUCAGCGAGAUGCAGCAAAAUAUUUUUCCCAUUUUAUACUAAUAAUUGAUGUGUCAUUUUUUUGACAUGGAAGAUGGAGAAAACAUCAGCAGAAGCAAUAAGCAGCUACAAAAUAAUUAUAAGGUCAUUUACAUAGGAAAAUUUGCACAAAAAAUACAACAGCCUGUGUAUCUUCUUCAAACAAAGCUGAUCUUCAACCCUUUGUACUACAAACAAACAAUCUCCAAACUUCAAUUCAUGGUGAACUAGUGUAUCGAUAUCCUGAAUACCCCAUUUGGUGGUUCGACGGUUCACUGCUCCCUGCUCCGCCAUGGUUGGAGUUAGAACUAGAUGACCGAAACGGCCACAGAUAAGAGAAUGGAUUGCGUCUACCUGGAUUGACCCGGGAGCCACUCCCGUUGUUGUAGCUGUUGCUUCGGUUUUGAUCGUUGGUGCUAUGUCCCCCACCCCCACCUCCUAUUCCUUGUGGUGGCAGUUCCUGGCGGCAGACAGGGCAAGAAUUGUGCUGGAUUAGCCAUGGAACAAUACAAUCUGAGUGGUACAUGUGAUUACAAGCCAUCUGCCUUGCUUCAGACCCCAGUUCAAAUUUCUCUUUACAAACUGGACAAUGUGAAUCUGAGCGAAGAUGUCGUUGCGUGAUCUUAACUGUUGGCAUUGCAUCGAUUGAUGAUCUAGAUGCUGGUGGAGGGCCACGAUGACCAUUUUCUGAAAGCUGUUCAAAUAGCUCCUCCAGUCCAGGGCCUAUGAAGUAGUCACCACUAUCGCCCCGUGUAAUACCAAUGCCAGGAGCCCCAUUGAAGAGAGCUUCUAACCUGCUGUUUCUCAACGGUAUUUGACCACCAAAUAUUAAUAGAGGACCAAAUCCCGGGCUAUGCUCAAAAAGUGACUCUGAUCUUCCCCUCAUGUCAUUUCUUUCGGCUAAACGUUGUCUCAUAAAAGCAGAGAAUGCACCCAGACCAUGAUCGCGAUCUUCAUCAUGAUCUAGACCAAAGAAAUCAAAUGGAUUUCCAGGCACCAUAUCAUCAAGUUCUUGGAUAAAUCCUCCAUUGCAGUUGGGGCAAACUGCAUCUCUACCACGGAGACGUACUGACCUUCUGCAUCUAUAACACCAAUGGGUGUUCCGACCAGCUGACAUCCUCUCUUUUCCUGCUCUCUACUAAAAUAUAAGCAAAUAACAUCGGAACUUAUCCCUGGAACUCCUCAAGCACCAAAAUAUAUUAUCUCAGCAUAAUGUCUUACUUCGAAAUAUAUAGUCACUAAAUCAACUUCAACGAGUGGAUUAAAUAAAUAAACAACCAAUAUGUCAUAAAAAAGAAACAAAAACCAAACCAUAUAUUAUAAGCCAAGCUGAAAUGAAACAAACCAUCAUUUUAGAAUCCAUACAUACCACUAAGAUCCAACCAUCAACAAAAUUUAUCGUUUAUGCAUAUAUAACAAUCAGAAAACCCAGAGAUCAAACACUUCAUAUUUUUCAUCUACCACACUGUUGACUACCAUUUUGUAGUCCAUUUUUUGGAUUUUCAACAAAAACAUACUUGUACAAACAUAACCCUACAUGAUAUCCAUACUUCCAUGUUAUUUUUUAGAUUUUAAUUAAACAUUAGAAGAUUAGGCUAAAUUUCAAGGCAAUGAAUGGAAAAUUUACAAAAGGACUCCGGUCUGAUGAAAUUACAUGGCUGCUAGCAAGCAUACAGACUGUUAGGCCUACUCAUCUUCAGUCUAACUAUCCUUGUUUAACUAUGGAAAGAUGGGGACAUACUCUUCAGACAAAAAGUGCCCAAAAUCUCAUGAAAUAUCUCAGUUCUUAGUAUUGAACUCUGUCCACAUAAAAAUGAAGAUAGAUCAAAAGAACACAAAAUGACUCAAUCUUGUUCGUUUGUUUUUUGUUUAAUUCUUAGUAAAACAAAAACAAGGGGGUUAAUGAUUCGAACCUAUCUUUAGCCCUCUUAGUUGAGAGCAUUGUCUUAACCACUUGGACUACACUAAAGUCGGGAAAUUGUACACUAUCGAAAAAAGGGUACAACUAAUACUUCUAAAAACUCUAUAAAAAAAUACUCACGAUUGAGUAAAGAUUGAAAUAAAUCAAUCAUACCAAAUUCAUCCAACAGAACAACAAAAAAUGUAAACACAUAAAUGUCCAAAUCCCAACAACAGUCACAAAAACAUUCUACUCCAGCCGCAUAAAUCACUAUAUAAUUAGCCAAAUUCUUAAAAGAAAUAGAAAAAUGAGAGCUUAACUUAGUCGAGGGCAUUAAUUUCUACCCAAGUUGAGACCAAUUUCACCAAAUACAGAGUAAGAAACGAAAAAAAAAAUUGAAACUAUAUUCCAUAGUCCAAACAAAGCAUACAAGAACACAACUUCAAAAGUUCCCACUACAGACAGCGUAAAAGCCCAACCCAACUCAAUACUUUCACUCCAAAUAAGCCACAGAAACCAAUGAAAGACACCCACCAACAAAGAUCCAAACAGUACCCACCCAUUUCAAUAAAUUCCCCAAAAAUCUCAAAGCAACAAAGAUUGAAAACAACAAAGACCCGCAAACUGAAAACGAGAAAAGAGACAGAAAAAGAGGGUUAAACUGUUAAGAGAGGCAUUGAAUUGCAGAAAAAGGUGGAGGAAAAGGUAACCCUAGAAAAUGGUUAGCAGCAGAAAUUCACCUUUAGGAAGACGAAAGAGAAAAGUGGAUCAACCCAAUUUCCUUUUUCUUGAACUGAACAAACAGAGAGAAGAGAGAGAGAGAGAGAGAAGAAGAAGAAGAAGACGACGACAGAGCGGAUGGGUUAACCCAGGCUUUGGGCUACGAGGUCGAGAGAUGAGCGACGUGACCUUUUGUUUUCAUUUUCAUUUUCUAUUUUUAUUUUCUCUCUCCCUCUUUUAUUUAUUUAUUUAUUUUUAUUAUUGUUUGUUUCUUUUAUUUUAAUUGAUUGGACUUUAUGCUUUCUAAUUUGUGGUUUAUAUUAUUUAUAAUCCUUUCAACUACAAAACAUUCUUUUACUUUGCAUUCUAUGCCAAUGCCAUCCUCCUCUUCUUAGUAUAUGCAAUACUAAUGGUCUACUUUACAUUGUAUCAUAUCACUUUCUUCUUCUUACUAUUUGUAAUACUAACCGUAAUAAAUAAUUCUCCUGCUAUGACAGACUAAAAUAAGUUUAGCUCAAUUAUAAUUAGCAUAAUCUUCCUUCCAAGUGGUUGAAGGUUAGAAAAUAGUAUACGGUUUACUGAUGCUCAAACCAUAUUGUGUUUUUUUUAUUACAAAUUUGGUAGUAAGUUUUGGAUUUCACACUAAAACAACUAAACGACAGCAAAUAUUAUCAAGUGUGGCUACGUUUCAUAUUAUUAUGGAUGGAUGGAUAGCAUUGUUAGAAAAUAAUCAUGACUAUGUGUUUCCAACAUUCUCAAGAAUUGCAAUAUAGAAAAAUCUAUCAUGAUAGAUUUCAUCACUGUUUGAUUAAGUCCUAUCGAUGAUAACGUUUAUCACUUAAAAUUCAACAGUUAGAGAUUUAAAAAAAAAAAAAGUGAAACAGUGACUUAUGUGAAUAUAAUAUACAUUUUAAUGUGUUUAAAAAACCUUAGGUAUUUAUCAUUCAGUGUUGAUAUACACUGAUAGACACUGCUAAAAGUUAAUUACUAACGUAUACCAUCGAUAAAAUAUGAAAUUUUGAUAUAUUUUAUAAAUAUUAAAAUAAUUUUGUCCACCUAUAAUAAUUUUACAAACAUACAUAUAUAUGAAUCCAAAGAACAGCUAAAGCAGGGAGAGAAGAUAUGGGGAGGUUUUGUAAUAAUUCAAAGGGAUCACACCAUAUGGCUUCAUCUCUAAUCAUUUUUCUCUCUUCCCCUUCUUUUUUAUUCGAUCUCUCUCAUACUUAUUCAUAGGGAAUAAUAAUGGAACACAUAACUUUUUUUCUCCUUUUCCCUUUUUCAUCUUUUUAUUUAUUAUGGGAUAGAUAGAUUCUCUGUCCUCAUCUUUAUUUCUCGAAACAAAAGAUAUGAAAAAAAAUGAAGAUUAGAUACUUUUCAUAUGAUAUUAGAUAUAGAGACUAAGUUUUGAAAUUUUUGUUUCACUCUAAACAGAAAUGUAAAAUUGAUCACUAUUAUUGAAAAAUAUUGAUAAGUGUUUGAGGAAGAAAUUUUUGUCAAUUAAAUUUCAUCACAUCAUCACAUUAAACAUUGUGAUAAUUAUAAUUUGAUUGGAUUUGGGUAAUUAAGUUUUCUCAUACCCAACCCAAUUCAAACCCUAGAUAUAAAAGUUUGGUCAAACGAAGAUAAGGGGUCCAAGUCCAAAAGACAAAUGGGCCCAAGCGCAAGUUCAUUCAACAAAUUGGUCCAAAUUCAAGCCCAACAGACAAAUGAGGUCAAACCCAAGUCUAGCAGGCAAAUGGAUCUAAGCUCAAGUCUAACAUGCAAAUGGGUCCAAGUCGAAGUCCACUAAGCAAAUUGGCCUAAAACCACCUAAAGCCCAUGGAAAUUAUCUAUAAAUAGAGACAUUAUUCUCAUUCAUUUUAGAGAUCUUUGGUUGAAAGAAGAAUUGAAGCUUUGAAGAAUUGAAGACUCAAACUUCUAAAAUGUCUCAAGACGUGCAAACUUUUAUCAACCUCGAAAUCAUCAUCUUUUGAAAGAUUGAAAACUUGGAAGAUAUUUAAAGUUUCCUUGAAUUCUAGAAGAAUGAAGCUCAAGUUGAUCUGCAACUAUAACUUCUUGAACACUGAAGAUCAAGAAGUUCAAAAUUUUAAUUUGUAUUUGAGAGAAAACAUCAAAUGAGUAAAUAUUAGAGAUUAUAUCCCCUAUAUAAACCAAUAUACAAAGUUCAAUUCCACGAAUUCAUUUCUCUGAAAAUCUUGUGUGAACAGUUUGGCAUGCCCAGUGGAACCGUCUCUACCUUUCAUCUUUUUUUCUUUUUGAAGAACAUCUAAAGAAAUCAUGACAUCUCAAGGAAACACUUUCAAAGCUCUAAGCGACAUCGGCAAGCGUCCAAAUACUCGCAGCCGCUCACGAAAAACUCAAUCAUUUGAGGAUAUGUCAUCCUUUAAGGACGUAAAGAAUAUUUGAAAACAAAUGUCCAACCCAUAAAAAGGUGGAAUCGUAAUCAAGGAAAAUCUUGUGAUUGACGAACACAACUCGCCCUCUGAACGUUCAAAUGAGAAGAUGCCACAUUCAAAUAUAAUGUCAGUUAUAGUGACUGGCGUGGAUACAAACGAAGACAGAAUGACAAAGCUUGAAAAGAAGGUUAACAUGCUCAUGAACGUCGUUGAUGAAAGGGAUGACGAGAUUGCAUUGCUGAAGAAUCAUAUCAAGAGUUGUGACGCUGCUAAAUCAAGUCACACACAUACCAUCAAGAAUACUGACAAAGAGAAGGAAGUUAUGUAAGAAAGUCAACCACAAAAUUCAACCUCAAUUGCAUCACUGUCUGUUCAGCAGUUAGAGGAGAUGAUUGCAAACUCCAUCAAAGCUCAAUAUGGUGGAUCUGCUCAAACUUUCUCUUUCUAUUCCAAGCUAUAUAAAAAAAAAGAUCGACAAUCUGAGAAUGCCAAACGAGUACCAGCCAUCCAAGUUCUAACACAGUUUGAUGGAAAAGGCAACCCAAAACAACAUGUUGCUCAUUUCAUCGAAACAUGCAAAACUGCUAGUACGCAAGGAGAUUUCUUGGUACGUAAAACAGUUCGUUCAAACUCUCAAAGAAAAUGCCUUCAACUUUAGAGGGACUUUCUCAAGCACUUCUACAGCACCCAACGUAUCGUCAACAUGAUGGAGUUGACAAACACCAAACAACGAAACGGGGAGCCAGUCAUCGACUACAUAAAUCGAUGGAGAGCUCUAAGCCUGGAUUGUAAAGAUAAGCUCACAGAACUGCAUGCAGUGCAGAUGUGCACCCAAGGCAUGUAUUGGAAACUUCUCUAUAUUUUGCAGGAAAUAAAACCACACAUGUUUGAAGAGUUGGCAACUCUUGUCCAUGAUAUGGGACUGAGUAUCGUCAAUAGAGGAACAAAAGAUUUCUUAGUUUAAAAAAUGAGGAGUGACAAAAAUAAAAUUGAUGACACUAAAAAGAUCGCAUAUAGUGUCAUAAAAGAGUUUGUGGUUGUUCAUUCAACUCCUUUGAAAUCUUUCUCUAAAAGGAAAGAAAUAAAAUUAAAGAAAAGUAUGGUGGCGAUGAAAAGCAACGCCUAACUCUUAGAAAAAGACAAGAAAAAGUUUAUUCAUUUUCUGACUAUAAUGUUGCAGACAUGUUAGAGCAUCUGUUAGAGAAGCAACUCGUUCAACUACCAGAAUGAAAACGAUCAGAACAAGCAAGAAAAGUAGAUGAUCAUAAAUAUUGUAAGUACCAUCGGAUCAUUAGUUACCAUAUCGAAAUUACAACUUCAUGAGUUUACUUUUAAAAAACGUUUUCAGAGACGAACAUUCUCGGUUGGUCGUUUAUGCUUUAGCAGAAAAUCUUGUUAUAUGUAUUCUGAUGCCAUUUAAAAUAUUUUUUGAUUAAGGGCUAGGAUUCCGUACUUGUAAAUUGUUGGAACUUGAUUGGAAAUGUACGAAUAUUAUAAAUUGUAUUAUAGCGUAUAUAUAUUAAAGUGUCGGCUAUUUUUUUCUAUAUGGGUGUCAAUAUUAUAAAUUCAAAAUUGUCAUUGUCGGGUACAUUAUUGUCAUUCAAAUGGUUCGUGUAAUGGCGGAGUGGCAAAGAGAACAGGAAAAAUUUGUAGUAAUCGAGUAAUUUGCAACAGGAAAAACAUGUCGUAAUAUAUGAAUUUGUGACAGUUAUUAAUUGUUGUGAAUACCAAAACAAUGACAGUUUUUUUUACAAAAUUAAUUGUCACGAUUGCCCUAUCUUUGACAGAAAGAAAAUGUCGUCAAUAGCAAAAUAAUGACAUUUCUUUCAAAAAAAACUGUCGCGAUUGAUAUAUCCGUGACAUUUAAAACAUGUCACAAUAAACGAAUUCGCGACAUUUAUUUAACUUUUGCGACAUUUAUUUAACUGUCAUUAAUACAUAAAUGAUGAUAGUUAUUUUUUGUCGUAAAAUAAAAUAUUACAGUUAUUUGAUGUCGUAGAAUGCUAACUAACGAUAUUUAUUUUAUGUCAUGAAAUAAGUUAUUGUGACAGUUUUUGAAAACUGUCAUGGAAGGACUUUCCAUGACUCCCUCUUCUAUGACUGAAAAUAAUUGUCAUGGAUUUUGUUCGUGACAGUAAAUAACUAUCGUCGUAGACCAUUUUUCUUGUAGUGUCACUUGAUUGUCUAUUUAAUUGAAUAUCUAAAAUAUACCUAAUAUACCCACUCUUUCAUAUGUGUUAUUGAAUAUAUACAAUACUAAACUCGAAAUUUCUAACUAGAUUAUGUUCGAGAAUAUUUGUAUUUGUCGGCCGUUGAAUGUCUUCUUCUUCACCUCCGAACUCUCUAAAAUUUCAAAGUAAAAAUUGUAAUCCACGUUGGAAUAAGUAGACGACCGUUUUCGUAAAAGGAAAGCAUGAAAGGUUUUCCACUUCAUUCCAAAACUGCAUCUCAUGAUAUUUUUUCAUUUAGAUAUUUGUUAUAAAUCAAUUAAAUAAUAGAAAUUGGUAUUAAAUUAAUUUGGGUCUCACUUCUUUCCAUUCACGAUUUUUUCAAUUUAGAUAUUUGUUAUAAAUCAAUUAAAUAAUAGAAAUGGGUACAUUUGUGUAAUAUACUGGCCCAUUUAGGACUUUUGUGAAAUUUAUUGGUAUAUUGGAUCCUUCGUGUAAUAUGAUGUAGCAACUUAGGCUAUAUAAGUUAAAGACCCAAAAAAUAUUUACAAUAAAAUUUCAAGUAACAUUAUAAUAAGGGGUGAGUGGAAAUAUAGCAAAUUACUACAAAUUAAUUAAGGAUAUAACAAAUUUUUAAAAGAUGAAAAUACCCCAAAAUACACUUUACUUAUUGUCUUCCAUCUUCCACUUUCUUCUUUUUCUUCAUAUUCCUAUUUUCUUUAAAGAUUUUAUUUUUCUCCACAAUUUUCUCAUUCUCCACAAUUUUCUCAAUUUUUCAUCUUCACCGUUUUCUCCAUUCUCCAUCUUCACCGUCUUUUUCUCCCUUUUCCAUCUUCACCAUUGUUUCUUCUCCACCUUGUUUGUGAUUUUCUCCUAUUUUAAGAUCAUUUAUUCUCUUCGUGAUUUUCUUUCAUCCCACUUUGAUAUUUUUUUUAAUGUGAUUCUUCCCAAAAAUUUUACUUCAUCCAAUUUUUACAAUUUGAUUUAAUUUCAUCACUUUAGGUUGAUUUUGUUCAAUUCAAUUGAUUUUACUAGUAUUUUUAUAUUUAAAAAUGUGUGGGAAUAGAGGUAGUAUUACACUCAUAACAUUGAUUAAUCAUAAUUCUGAAUCGUUGCAAUAUAUAUAUAUACAGUUUAUCAUCCUAGUGUUACACUCAUAGCAUUAUAGAAGAUAGAGUCUAUCACUGAUUGACUAAUAUUAGUAAUGACCUAAGAUACGAGUCUAUUAUUGAUAGACUACUAUUAGUGAUGGACUAGGAUACAGAUCUAUCAUUGAUAGACUACUGUCAAUGAUGGACUAUGAUACAUAUCUAUUAUUGAUAUACUACUAUCAGAAGACAAGUUUGCAAGGAAGAAGUCUGCACUACAGAUUUUGGUGAUAAGAUGCAUCUGCCAAACAAAAAGCACACAUAACAAAACAAAAUCAAUAAUGUUCUAAAACUCAAGGUAAUAUCAAGCCAAUCUUGGUCGAGAAUAUCGUGAAUAACAAUGAAACUCGAGCCACAUUACAUUAAAAGUCCAUGAGAUUCGAGUUUUACAUGCAUUCUGUGAUGUAUCUUGAGUUAAUCUCAAUCGAAAUCGACACCAAGAACCUUACAGAAUGCAAUGGAUCUCGUGACUGAUUCAACAAAUCUACAUGAACCCAGAUUGAUGAAAUUGCUGAAAAUUUUCUAACGAAACCACUUGCAUUAACUUAAAACCGUAUACCAAACACAACUCCAACAGCCUCGGAUGUCCACAAAUAACCUAUUCGCUACAUAUUUCACAAAUAACCUUAAAUUCUAAACUUAAAACAAAGCCCUAAAUUAUCAAAUAAUUCAAAGUAAAUUACCUCUACAAAUUAAAGCUUCGGAUACAUUUCGUAAGGUUUGCUACGCAAAAGCAGCCAAUCUUAAGAUCAAAACGUUAAAACUCAGGAGGAAUGAGAUGUUUAUUUGAUGAAAGUGAAUAUCAAACAUUCGAAAAAACAAAGGUAUUUUGGUAAUUUAAACAUAUUCUUCAUUUUGAAUUUUAAAAACAAAAUAUCAUAUCUCAUGAUCGAUUCCAAUUGAGAUGGUUCGAAAAAACAAAAAGUGUAAGCUUUUAAAAAGUGCGCUACUUUUGAAAUGUCAAAAACCUAAACUGCUUCGUUUUUAUCAUUUUCUCAAUAUACAUAAAUUUUAAAAAUAUGAUGACCGGUAGACCUUCAUUUUUUCUCUAAAAGAAAUUAUUCAAUAAAAAAAGGAAAGAAGCUCCUUUAACAAAAUUCUAAAUUCUUGAAAGUUAUAAAUCAAUUAAAAAGAAGUUUCAGUGUAACCAAAACAACAAACCAUUUUGCUAUGUCUUGUGAGUAGCAAAAGAAAGAAAGAAAGAAAUACAAAAAAAAUGACUUAGGAACCACUCAACUUUUCAAGUCCAAAUAAACAACCCAACUUCAAUAGUGGAUUUCGUUAGAAAUUCAAAUUUUUUUUCAAAUAACUUCAUCUUUUUGUCAUAUAAUUUUUACAUUUAUGGAAAAAACUUCAUCUUCCCUAUACCAAUUAACUUCACCUUCAAACCUAUACACCACAAAUACAAACUUCAACAAAUUAAAUGGAGAACUUUGUUUUACAAGCCUACGCUCCAAACACCCACCAAAAACCCUUCAAUUUUUUCCAUUAAGAUAGAAGUUUUUUUACGAAUACUUCAGGAUACUCAAAUUUUCAUUUUUCAUGUUAAUGUAAAAUGCUCCCAUUCUCCAAAGUGGAGAAAUCCCAUGAAAGGAAACAGUAAAUAGUGACCAGUGACCAAUAAUCAACGCAGGGUGAUGAUAUAAAAACUAAGUUUACAUAAACAUUCAAAUCUCUCAACUUUCAAAUUCUGCAGGUGAAAAGGAUGGGAAAAAGAGGAAGGAAAAAGAAAAUUUCAGUACUCCACAUAAAAGAGAGCUCAGCUCUUAUUAAUUUGUAAGUUCCAUAAUGGCAGACACAAUAUCACCCUCCGCUGCUUUGAGUGCUUUCACGGCUCUUGGUCUAGAUACCCCAGCCUGAGUCAUCACCAGUUCAAUGUCCUUGGGUUCAACCCCGGUCUCAUCAACAACUUCGUCAUCUUGAGCUACGGUUGAUGGCUCAGGCUUUGAUGUCAAAUUACUCAAAUUAGGAGCCUUGAACUGCUCUGCAGCCUGGGUCUGUAGCUGGGAGCUCAAAUCUUCAAUCUUUGCUUCCCCGAAAACAAUGUAGGUGUCUGAGGUGGGACUUUUGAAGACAUCUGGUUUUGAAAUGACAAAAAGAAUCUGCAGAGAAAAUGCCAUAGAUAUUAGAUAGAAUCAAUUAAGAAAUAUCACAUUUGGGAUGUUGAAAAAAACCAACAUUUUUGCUCUUCUUCACUGUGACACGGCUCACACCAGGAAUAGGCUUCAUUCCAAGCUUUAACAUUGCUUUACGACUCUUUUUCUCACUUCUACUUUGCUUAGACCUACCACUGGCCUCUCCAUGUCCUGCCACAAGAAACUCCCAUCUCACAACAUAUACCAACCAAGUAAGACAUGUGCGACACACAAACACAAAACUGAGAAAGCUUGAGGCAACAUUCCAAAUUAAAUGGAAACAAACACAAAGUAUCUGCAUUCACUAGAUAGAAUUUACUCAACAUUUCUCUGCCAAUAAAAACUUGAACUUAUUUUUAAAAGUUAUAAUAAAAGUGCACACACACAUACAUAUAAUAAUACCCUGCACCACAGCACAUGGGGAAUGAAUAAGAUAAUAACAUAAUGAAUCCAACAACUACAAUCAUUUGUCACUUAAGAAACCAUCCCUGUGAACAAAAUCCAGAAGCAAGCAAAAACUAAACUCUUGAAUCUCCUUGCAUUCUACUUAUAGCAAAAUUAACCAAAUGAAUUGACAUGAUUUGGAAAAUCCUAUAAUGCAUAACCAUAUGAACAAUAUAAGAAAAAUUAAGAAACUUAACCAAAAUAAGUAGAAACGAAAAAAUCAAUUUUUUAAUUUAUCACUUCAACUCUUUUUUCGGAGUCCGGCCACGAGGUCUGAUAAGUAUGAACCAUAGUUCUAAUAUUUGUUCUAAUAUUUUGGAAGAGUUAAUAAGGAAACCUUUACACAAGGUUUUGAUAGAAAUGUUUAUUAGAGGGAUAUUACGGGUAUUUAGUAAAAGGAAGUUUGGAUAUAGAUGCAUUGAGUAGGGGAAAAAGGAAGAAAGGAAGAAAGGAAGAAAGACGAAUAGAAUAUUUUGGCGAGGAUUAGGGCUUGAGAGUGAUUUCAAGAGAUUGGAAGAAUCAAUCAUCUCAAGUAUUUGUUACCGUUUAUAUUACAAUAUAUUUGGGUUGUAUCAAGUUUGUUGUUCAAAUGUUCAGUUACCUUCAACAUCAUCCUCAUCCUUGUCAUCAUCUUCGUCAUCAUCCUCAUCGUCGUCAUCAUCCUCAAUUACAGGUUCAUCAGCCUGCAAAAACAUUAGAAGAAAGUCGGCACAGAAUUAUUAAAAUGUAGUUUUAGGGUGGAAAAUACAGGGAGUUCUUAUUUUAUACCUAGGGAAUGGACAUAGAAUAUCUAUAACUGAAUGUUACACAAAAUGCAAUCUAAAACACUGAACCCCAUAUUCCAUUUCUUAAUUAAUGACCGAACUUGCAUUAUUAAUUCUAAAACGCUGAAAUUUCAAUUAUUUUCAACUCCAAAUGGCUUCAAACAACUAAUUGGCAACAAAGGAAUUAAACACCAAAAGAAAAUCUCCUCCAAAAAAAUAACUUAAAAGUUAAAAUUAAGCUCACUAAUUCAAGUAAAAGAAUUUAGAAAUAACAAAACAUUUCAAUCAAAGAAGUAAACAACCCAAGUGAGAAAAUAUGUAAUUGCAGCUGAUUUCAAACUCAAACUACCACGAGUGAGUAUGAGUACCACGUCUUGUGUAAAGGAAAGAAUCUAAAAGUGAGUCGGUUGUGAGAAAUAUUUGAGUUAUAGGAAGGAAAAGAUAUGAAAGAGAGAGUGUGAGAUUACAUUAAUCUUUUGCUCUUCAAGCUGAGCGGCGAGAAGCUCUUCCUUGGUCUGAGCAGUCAUGGCGUUAGAGAUGAGUAGAAGAAAACUCACAAAGAUUAUUCUAACGUUUGAUGAAACCCUAAAAACCCGAUUAGCUUCGCCUAUUUAUACCACCCCACUUCGGGUCUGGAUCCCGGUUCCCUCUCCUUUUACUAUUUUGGUUUUUAUUUUUUACUUUUUUUUCUUCUAAAAUGUAAAUGGUAAAUGUUAAAACUCUUUAAAAUAUUUUGAAAGUAUAUCAAAAUUUAAAAUUCAAUUCAGGAUAAGUAUUGAUCGAUAUUGAUAGAUUUCUAUCGGUAUCUAGUAUUUAUAUAUUUAAAAAUGUACGUUAUUUUUAUAAAAAAUUUUAGUAAAGUUAGAGUUAAAAAACAUACCUUGAAUUGAACUGAAUUGAGGAUGAAAAGAUGUGAUGAUAAAUUCUAAUGUUAAAUUUGAAAACGUAUAUAAAAAAGAUUUUAUUGGAAUAAUUUUUAAUAUUACAUUUGCAAGAGGAUUUAAGUUUCAAAUGCAAUUGGAUGAAAUUAAAAAUUAAAGAAAAGAAUUGAUAUGACCUGACAAUUUACGAGUAUGUAGAUAAUUUCUUGAUUGAUUUCAACAUGCUCCACAGGGAGGCGGUGACUUGGAAAAUGGAGAUAAAUGCACAGUGAUAUAUAGUAUUUAAGUUAGAGAUAAGAUAAAGUGCCUGAUCCAUGGUUUCUAGUUGUUCUUGACGAAAGCAACUAAACAUGAACCAUGUGAUUUCUCGGUCUUGGUCGAGGUGACCAAUUGAACAAGUGUUUGCUAUCAACAUCUUUACGAACAUUUCAUUUUUAUUUUCAAAUGACAAAUUAGGGUUAUUUCAUAAUACUCAAAAUUUGGUAUCAUAAGGUAGAUAAAAGAACAAGCCCAACCAUACCCACACACGCCCACCCGCUACGAGCAAAGCCCAACUCCAUCACAAUUCCUGCUGCAACGCCCACAAAAACACCCCACUUACCUACUUGUUCAUGCUGCCAAGAACAAGAACCACACCCCAGGUUUGCGCCUACGUGCACAACAAAAUCCCUUAUCAAUUAACUACGGUUGACCCGACCAAAGAUACUCACUGGAUAGUCGCAUUACGUACCAUAUUAUCAAUUUCCCUCGACGAUAAAAUAACAGGGAAAAGCCAUCAUCCUCAACAAAACAACUGAUAAAGUCAAAACCAUAAUCUCAUAAGACACAUUAAUAUUAGAACCACCGCAAGCUUUAAAAUUGUGGCUAAUAAUCAGCACAAUGAAAUAUAAAAACUAAUACGAAAGUUUACAAAAGAACCAUUCAAUCUCUCAACUUCAAAUUCAGGUAAAAACAUAUGGGAAAGCAAGGCAAAAAGAUUCCAACACUCCCUAUUAAAAACAUCCUCCUGAUACUUCUUAUUAAUUUGUAAGUUCCAUUAUUGCCGAUACGAUAUCGCCCUCAGUUGCUUUGAGUGCUUUCACCGCCUUUGGUCUUG
RNAcentral lists this long non-coding RNA (82561 nucleotides) under Cucumis sativus (cucumber). RNAcentral describes it as "long non-coding RNA (CSAT_LNC001631)". The record is from RNAcentral. Lineage: Eukaryota; Viridiplantae; Streptophyta; Magnoliopsida; Cucurbitales; Cucurbitaceae.